ACACAUAAUGGUGAAGAUGUGAAAAUGUGAUCUAAAAGUGACCAAAAUAAGGACACCACAUUUUAAUUUCAAAGCGGUGUCCACUUUACAUAUGUAUGUCCGGGUAUAGCUCUUCAGUUUUGUUUGAGACGUUUAAACAAAGGUUUAGCGAGUAGAAGAAUAUAUCAAACUUUCAUUAGCUGUUAUUGAUAAAGUAGUAUGAGGUUCAUAUCAAAAAUUAAUUGGUAAUGUAUGGAGUGGCCCAAACCCUUAUAAAUCCACAGACAAUGUCUCAUAUUCUCGAUGUGAGAUUGAUAUAUCAACACGCCCCCGCACGUGUGGCGAAUUGUUAAGCCUAACAUGUGGACAACAUUUGGGUGACGUGGAGUUCGUGUGGCCAUUGGGCUUCACAUGUGGACGUAGGUAACCCGCUCUGAUAUCAUGAUAAAGUAGUAUGAGGUUCACAUAAAAAACCAAUUGACAAUGGAUGGAGUGGCCCAAACCCUUAUAAAUCCACAAGCAAUGUCCCAUAUUCUCAAUAUAAGACUGAUAUCUCAAUAGCUAUACCACGACAAAUUAAGCUCUAAUCGUCACGAUAUCUACUUUGUUUCCCACGCAAUCCACAUUUCCGUUGACAUUGUUUUUAAGAAACGAUCAUGAAUGUAAUGCCGUCAGGCAGCGAUCGUUGUAGACAACUACUUAUUCUGAAGAUAAUGUCUACAACGAUCAAUUUAGACCAAUUUCAAUGAACUCUGAUCACUUUAGGCACAAAAGUCUUUAUCCUUUUUGCUUAUUGGGCCCUCAUGUCUGAUAUCUUCAAUCAAAGUGGGCUAAAUAAUGUGUGCGCGCUGAAAAAAUAAAAAGCUCACUCGGCCCAUUCAAACCAGGCGGGCAAGACCACUCCCUACUUUGACUACUGACUUGCUGACCUAACUAAUUUUACUGCCACCAGAAAAGUGUCGUUUUUGUCCGCACUAAACCACACCACCUACUUAUCUCUCCCGCCUCCAUUUCAACUUCCCCUCCCAAAACUUCUCCGGCCUCCCAAAAACCCCAAUCCGACCCGAUGGAGAAUUCGACCCUCGAAUCCCACCUCGGUCCCGAAAACUCCGUCACCUACGACUCCCCCUACCCUCUCUACGCCAUGGCAUUCUCCCCCGCCGCCCGCGCCCGCCACCACCACCCCAAAAUCGCCGUCGGCAGCUUCAUCGAGGAGUUCUCCAACCGGGUCGACAUUCUCUCCUUCGACCCGGACACCCUAACCCUAAAACCCAAUCCUUCUCUCUCCUUUGACCACCCCUACCCUCCCACCAAGCUCAUGUUCCACCCAAACCCCAACACCCUCCACAAGUCCCACGACAUCCUCGCCUCCUCCGGCGACUACCUCCGCCUCUGGGAGGUCAAAGAUUCCUCCGUUGACCGCCUCGAGCCAAUUUCGGUUCUCAACAACUCCAAAACCUCCGAGUUCUGCGCGCCGCUGACGUCAUUCGACUGGAACGAGAUCGAGCCGCGGCGGAUCGGGACCUCCAGCAUCGACACGACGUGCACGAUCUGGGACAUCGAGAAAGGCGUCGUCGAGACGCAGCUGAUCGCGCACGACAAGGAGGUCUACGACAUCGCGUGGGGCGAGGCUAGGGUUUUCGCGUCGGUCUCCGCCGACGGAUCGGUGAGAAUAUUUGAUCUGAGAGAUAAAGAACACUCGACGAUCAUAUACGAGAGUCCUCAGCCGGACACGCCGCUGCUCCGAUUGGCGUGGAACAAGCAGGACUUGAGGUACAUGGCGACGAUUUUGAUGGAUAGUAACAAGGUUGUGAUACUGGAUAUUCGGUCGCCGACGAUGCCGGUGGCGGAGCUGGAGAGGCACAGAGGGAGUGUGAAUGCGAUUGCGUGGGCGCCGCAGAGCGCCAGGCAUAUUUGCUCGGGUGGGGAUGACUCGCAGGCGCUGAUUUGGGAGCUGCCGACGGUGGCGGGGCCGAAUGGGAUUGAUCCUAUGUCGAUGUACUCGGCUGGCGCCGAGAUUAAUCAGCUGCAGUGGUCUGCUGGGCAGCCGGAUUGGAUUGCCAUUGCGUUUUCGAACAAGAUGCAGCUCUUGAAGGUUUGAGGAAUGUAAGUGGUUUGCGUAGAAUACUCUGUUCUCGCCAAUUGAUGAUAAUGUACUAAAACUGAACUGAUGUGUUUAACUGUUACUUGCUUGUUUGAAUAACGAAUGCAAAGCCUGAGCAGAGUAUAUGUGACCGUUUGCAUUUGUUUUUGAUCAUUUUCUUCUGGAUAGAGGUGGUAGGUAAAACAUGAAGUAUAGAUAUCUGUAUACCGGAUUUUUUUCUACUUCGGUUGUGAUUUUGUGGCCCGAUUCAUGACAUGGUUCCGUCUCAUCUUUUGUGGAUAUCAUAUGGUCGGUCAUCUAUUGUGGGAUAUGAUCUCCUUUUUCUUGAGUUUGAAUUGUUCUCUCGCUUCAGCUUGAUUCUCUACUUGAGUCUUUAACAUAGUCCUCAACUCUGUUUGCAAAUGUCCUGAAGUACCAAUGUCACCUGGUUUGCUAGAGUAAUAGUUACCUAAAACUAACAUAGCUUUAUGCAAUGCAGUACUGAAAACUAGCUACUGAAAUUUCAUCUGCAUAGGAGAUUGCUUUUAUGUUAUAAUGUCCUUGUAGUAGUUCUUGGAUUGAUAUCAGUUCUCUAUAAAAUGGUGAUGACAGUGAAAAGAACAUGGAUUAGAGGGAAUUAGAUUAAUGGUGAACAUAUGUAUUACUAACUAUGCAACGGUUAGACUUGGCAGUUGCCACGUUGGGUUCUCAUAACUAACUUCAACGGGCAGGGAUGCUUCUUCACUUCUAUAGUUUUCUAAUCUAAGUUAUCUAAAAAAGAAAUGAACUAUGGAUUUUUCUUUUUUGGAAUUGGAACUAUGGAUAUUUCUUUUGUGCUCUCAAAUUGGGUCAUAUCGCACUUGUUAACUGAAAAAGUUGUGGAUUCUCUUUUGAUGCAGGGGUACUGAUGUGUAGCUGGAAGUAGUUUGAUCUUCCGUUACUUGGUGAGGGAUGUUUGAACUUUUGUAACUCUAAUUGUUGUAAAUACAGUAUCUCUCCUUCCUUUCCUACCUUUUAUCUUUUCUAUAGAUCCAAUGGUGUUUGUAAUCGUAACUGUUAGUGGGAGUCUCCCUCAAUCACACGCUCUGUGUUCCCGUGUCCGAGUAAAGAAACACCAACUUCUCAGAAGAUUUGGUUGGUUCUUUAGAGUGUAGAGAAUGAAGGGGGAUUAGAAGUUUUGUGUAGUUGUGGAUGACACUGCUUUUUGGUGUUUUUUCUUAAUGAAUGACACUGCAUUUGUCAUAAUUCUUAGUGCAAUAUGAAAUGAUUGUCAUUCAAAUGUUUGGACUUCAAUUCCCAACACCCAUCCAAUUUUGGUUCAUGCAAAUAUUCAAAGCACGCAUUCUUGUAUCGGUUAUGCACUCAUCCUAUUGUAAAUAACACUGUAACUGACCGGAGCAACAACAAACAAAACUCUAAUCAUCAACAUCUUCUUUUCAAGUGAACUGAUAGUACUGAGAAUUUCUUUUCUUCCCUUCUACCUAAUAAGGUUGAAAUCUUGUUGAUAUUUGUUCGAGGAAAGUCCAGGUGAGGCCAUUUAUUUAUAUAAAAAAAAAAGAGAAAAAUCUGUGUCUUACUGUUGCAUAUAUAAUUGACCUGAUGCUGAUACCAUCGAUGGAGAAUGAGUUCAGAUGGAUGAGCUGCAGAAAUACAUGAAAAUCAUGGAUAUGCAUAAAUUGAGAGCUGACUCACAAUGAACGUCCAAACCGAUUUUCGACUUUCUAGACCGACCUCACUAAAUUCUCGUUUCGGCCGGGACCGUACAGAUUUAUAUAUCAUCAUAAAAGGUGAGAGACGACUACUAGUUAUGAACCUUCUAUUAUGCAUGUUUUCUAUAUAUAGAACUAGCCACCAAGCUUAACGUACACAUAUUCGAAUUCUGAUCGAUCUCCUUGCCUUCUUUCUCUCUGUAACAUUCGUCUGAAAUCUUAGGUACACCCUUCAUCCUUUCACUGCCUUCUUUUAUGGUUAAAGUCCUCAUCACGUCGAUCGUAUCUAGUUUCCGAGCUUGCAACUUCAGUCUUCAGGCAACUGAUAUCAAGGCUCUAGCUAGCUAGCUGUUAAUUUCUUGGAUCAGGGAUACCGGUGGUUCUUUCUGUAGUUGUGAUACAAUAUAUCCAGCGAAUAAUAAGUAAAGCAUGCUCAAGAUGAAGUUGGGGUCGUUACUAUGGGAUCUUGUCAAACUUUUACUGAAGAUGAGUUUGUACUAUCCAGUACAUAGCGGAGAUGGUGAACAAGAUAAGGAGGAUAGUGAUCGUCAGCCGGAAUAUGAAGCUGCAGCAACUACUUCAGAUCUUACUCGGUACGACUUGCAAGUACCAGUAGUAGUUCCGGUGGUGAUUGACACAGAAUCGAUCAAGAAGCAACUGCCGGUUGUGCAAUACCGGGACCUAAUGCUGAGGAAAACGAGCCGCCAGCGCCAAUUGCAAGCUAUAUCUUCGUCUUCGUAUCCGGAGGAAGAAAUAUUGCACGUUUCAUCAUGUAUUGUGUGCAUGAAUGUCAUAGAGGGCAGUGACGAGGUGAGGGAGCUGUGCAAUUGUGAGCAUGUUUUCCACACAGACUGCCUGGAUGCUUGGAUCGGUCAGGCUCAGUUAACUUGUCCUCUGUGUAGAUCCGAGCUACUAAUACCAGCUACUACUUGUGGUACUAUCUCAAAGCAUGAUAAAGAUGGAGGAGGAGAUCCAUGGAGGGUCGAGAGGAUGAUUUACUUGUUUGGUCAAGAUAUUUGUUUCAAGAACUAGAAUGUAUUAUAAUUCUUGUAUAUACUGAGGGAAACACACAUCAAAGCUCAAUAUAUGAUUCAAACAUAUUUUCACGAUUCAGGCAUAAUCGAUCAUACUCAAAGUUUCUAAUACUAUCUGGUUUUUUCUAUCUGUGAUCGAAUUUUUACUCUAAUAACAAAUGCACAUAUCAUGUAUUGUAUGCUAGCUUAUGUAUGCUUAUUAACUCUUAAAACUUGCUCCAUUUCCAUAACUACAUAUAAACACAUAGUAGUUAGUAACUGGAGCUCGUUUGUUCUUCACAAGCACAAAGAUGAAGUCGCCAUCAAACCAAAUUCCAAAACUGUGUUUACUAAUUUGUAAUUACAUUAUUAUUAGGGGCCCUAUUAUAUUAAUUUAUUAUUGCCAUAUUCGGCAAGCGAUUGCUGCAGAAAUCUAAACAAUGGGAGCAGCUUUACUUACUGACGUCUCGAAACUAAUUCACUGUUCAACAUAAACGUCGAUACCGUGCAUGUUGUGCAUUUGCAGUUACUUGCAGCAGUGUAGCUGGAAGUAGUUUGAACUUCAGUUAGUUACUUGGUGAGGGAUGUUUGAACUUUUGUAAUUCUAAUUGUUGUAAAUACUGUAUCUCAAUUAUAUUGAGAGAAAUUAAAAACCAAGUUCUCAGAAGAAUUGGUUGGUUCUUUAGGGUGUAGAAAAUGAAGGGGGAGAUUAGAAGUUUUGUAUGGCUGUGGAUGACACUGCUAGCUUGUUAGUGUUUUUGGUUAAUGAAUGACACUGCAUUUGUUAUAAUUCAUAGUGCAAUAUGUCAUGAUUUUAAUAUGUUUGGACAUGGAUUAAUCCCAACUCAAUUAUAAUCUUGUUGACUUGAUGAGGUUUCUGGUUCAUGCAAAUUGAAAGCAUGAAGUUGACAAAGAAAAAAGAAAACCACAAGUCUCACAGUUGCGUACUCGCAUAUAUAAUUGACUUCAUGCUGCUCAUAUCUUCGAUGGAAAAAGACUGAGCCGGUGUGGUUCAGCCUGGCUGGCCAUUUACUUGAACAUCAAAAUCAGGGAUGCAUAAAUAGAGUUGAUUCACAAUUACCAUCCAAACCGAUCUGCCACUUUACAGACCGACCUCACCAAAUCUUAACUUCCUUUGGUCCAGGACGUACAGUAUUUUCAAUUAAUAUUUGUGUAAAUAUCGUAGGUCAGACUUCUAUGGUUUGUUUCUAAGAAUAGAACUAGCCAAAUAUCGUAACGUACACAUGCACAUUCAAGUUGGAUGAUCAUUUGUCCGAUAUAUAUAUAUAGUUCAAUUCUGAUCUCCUCCAUCCCCAUCUCUCACAGUAAUAUAUGUCUGAAAUCUUAGGUACUACACUUCAUCCUUUCACUGCCUUCUUUUAUAUAUAGUUCAAGUCCUCAAGUAGUAUAGUUUCAAAGCUAGCUAGCAUGCAAAUUCAAGCAACUGAUAUCAACGCUCUAGCUGUUAGCUGGUAAUUUCUCGGAUCAGCAGUAUGGUGGUGGUGGUUCUUUCUGUAGUGUUACUAUGUAAGCUUCUCAAAUUUCUACUCAAGAAGAUCAUCUACUAUCCAGAAUUAUUCUUUAUACAUAGUGUUGAUGAUCAACAAAAUAAGGACGAUAGUGAUCACCAGCAGCUGGAGGUCAUGAACUUUGAAGCUGCAGCAACUUCACAUUCUAGUUGGUUGCGCUUUCAAGUACCAGUAGUAGUUCCGGUGGUGGUUGAUGCAGAAUCGAUUGAGAAGCAACUACCGGUUGUGAAGUAUUGGGACCUCAAUCUGAAGAAAAGAAGCCGGCAACACCAUUUGCAAGCUAUAUCUUCGUCUUCGUAUCCGGAGGAAGAAAUAUUGCACGUUUCAUCAUGUAUUGUGUGCAUGAAUGUCAUAGAGGGCAGGGACGAUGUGAGGGAGCUGUGCAAUUGCGAGCAUGUUUUCCACAAAGACUGCCUGGAUGCUUGGAUCGGCCAGGCUCACUUAACUUGUCCUCUGUGUAGAUCUGACCUAUUACUACCAGCUACUACUUCGAAGAAUGAUAAAGAUGGCGGUAGAGAUCCAUGGAGGGCAGAGAGGAUGAAUUACUUGUUUGGUGAAGAUGUUUGCUUCANNNNNNNNNNNNNNNNNNNNGUCCUAUUCCAGCUUAUUUCAACAUGUAAACAUAAUCUAUGAAACUCAAAGUUCGUAAUAUCUAUCUGGUUUCAUCCCUAGCUUUAACAUGCUUGUUUGGCAGCUGGUAGUAACUUGUAGUUCCUAAGUAGUUAAUGCAUGGUUAAUUUGUUUGCCAAAUAUUAUUUGAGAAAUCAGGAAGAACCACAGCUAUAGUCUAUAGAUCGAGAGAGCUACAGAUCGAUUACUUGGUACGUACGUACAAUUGGUUGUAGAGUGGACUAUGUUUUUUUUGUUUUUUUGUUUUAAAUAUGCAGUGGACUCUGUUAAUAAUAGAUCGAGCAGCGGUCAAGUUUAGUGAGUACUACAGGGUUUAGGGUUUAUUCAAAAAUUAGAGAGAAAUUAUUAGAUCUCUGGAUGGCGUGAAAGCUAGCUUUCCUUCGAUCUUGAAAGCUGCGGUAGCUAACAUCGCCGUACUGGUCUGGAAGCGUUGGCUACGUUAUACUCGCGCGGUCCAGUUUCGUUCAGUAUGAUGGGGUCAACUGAUCGGUCGAGAAACUUGCGUACAAUAUCGAUCCAAAUUGGCCAGAUUUACUAUUUUGUCAUCGUCGCAUUCACUUCAUGAAGAAGAUAAUCAUCAUAUACUCGAUCUUCAAACAUCAAAUUAUUGGCGAUAGUGAUACUAAUCAAUGAUCGAUCAUCAUCACCAUCGGGUCAAUUAAGAUGAGUUGCGCAGAAGAAUUAACACCUCCAAAUUGUUGAUUCAAGUUGCAGCUACUGGCGGUGCACUCCUUGCAACUCCCCGCACGGUGGUGCAAUGCCGCAACAUACGUGAUGAUGCCGGACCCUUUGGAUCUCGAAAUGAUCAGGACACCCAUUUGAAACGAGCUGCUAGCUAAGGCAGACAAGUUUUGGUUAUACAUAUGAACUAUUUAAAUUUCAUGUUUUGGUUCACAAUUAUAUGUUGAUUAAACUUUUAAAUUUUAUCAUUGAUCCGGCCAAAUUAAAACUUUUUAUUCAAUCUGCGCAAAACACAAUUCACAAGCACCUAUGCCAAACACAAAAAUACCAAAUGUUCAAAUUUCGAUACACGAGUAAAACACACAAGUCUCGAUCAGAUGCAACGACGUAAAACCGAUUAAAUGAAUGUAGCCUUGUAUCGAUAAACUUGUGACAUUUGUUUAACAUACGUGGUGAUUAUGCUUACUAGAUAAAAUACAAACCAAAAUCUUGACUAGAACAAAAGCUAUCUAUUUUCUAUUUUUCUUCUCUAAUUUUCUCGGUAAAUCUCUAUUAAUGAAGCCAAAUCAAAUUUUGACCCAACCUCCAAAACCCAUUUGAGAUUUUGAACUAAUAAUAUGUGAUCCACGGUCCACCAACAAAAACAAAACCCGCCUCAUUUCCCAACCUCUUAAUUAUUUUCUUCAACUCUCUCUCUCUCGUAAAUCAGAUUCCUAUGGCCACCACUACCACCGCCACCACCAACAAUCGUUGACAUGCCACCGCCACAACAACCACCACCAAUCAGAAACAGCCACGUCAACCUCCCCGAUCUCCUCCUCACCGCCCUCUCCGUCUUCUACCUCUUCUCCUCCUCCUCCUCCAAAAUUAAACCCCCACUCCCCAAUUUCCCAUCCUACCCUCGCCGAUUCAUCAAAAUUCCCACAAUGUCCCUCCACCACCACAACCACCACCGCAGCUUCGCCACGCCGCAGUCGCUCUCCGACUGGCUCAAGCCGCGCCUCCGCUCCGACUCGCUCGCCUCCUGGGGCGUCAAACCAGGGACCAAGAACGUCCACAACCUCUGGCUCGAGCUCUCCGAAGGCGAAAGCUCCCUAGCCGACUCCACCCCGCCGGUUCGGACCGUCCACGUCGUCACGGUUCGGGUCAUCGACGAUCGGAACCGGGUCCUGGUCGAAUCGGAGCAAGAACUCUCCGACGGCAGCGUCAGGACACGUGGCAGGCCUCUAUCGGAGAAGAUGAAGCCCGGGGAGGAUCCGAUAACGGCGGCGAACCGGGCCGUGUUGGAGGAGCUCGGGUCGGUACUGAACGGGUCGGGUCAAGUGAAGAUUGUGCCCGGUUCGUAUAGCAAGAAGGUGGAGGAGAGAAGCUCGGCGAGUUAUCCGGGGCUGCCGGCGUGUUACGAGGUGCAUUCGGUGGAUGCGACGGUGGAGGGGUUGCCGGAGGAGGAUUUCGUGACGGAGGAGGAGCAUGAGUAUGCGGAUUCCGGCGAGAGGCGUGUUGCGAAUGAGGCUGUGUCUGUGAAGAAGCAUUUCUGGAAAUGGGUUAGUCCUGAUUCGAUAAACUCUUGAGCUCAAUUCAUAGAAAUGUGUUUUGUUUAUAUAGAGAUCUCAUUCGAAAUGUAAUGUAGUAGUAGAGUUGUUUCGAGUUUGAUUGAUACCGUUUUGAUAGUUAAGAGUUGUUUCUUGAUUCAAUUCGUAUAGAAUGUACCACGUACUUUUGCUUUUUGAUCAUAAUGAAUAGAGUUUUUUGAACUUGCUCUAUGUUUCGAGACUUCAUGAUUGUGAUUGUGGUGAUGUUUGUUGCGUCGAGAAGUUGUAAAAGUUGAAUGCUCUAUGCAAGUAUGUUAGUAGUUGAUAAUCUGUAGAACUAGAUUACAUGUGUAGCUGUGUGUAAGUGAGUCUGAAGAGAUUAAUGUUAAAAUGAAUGGUGUUGGUGAACUUAGCUAUUGUUUUGUCUCUUGAAUCGGUGGGUGGGUUGAAAUUUAUGGAGAGGCACAUAUUCAGUUAGAGAUAAAGAGGAAUCCUUAGGAGUGCUGUUGCAAUUGCGGGUUACAGAUUCACUUCCUUAAAUGAAAUGGGAAAUGGGGAAAGAUAUGACUCCUUUUCAGGCUUUGAGUUCUUUAGUUCAGUUUAUGAUAUGCAGUUGUUGGUAGCAAAAGAUACAAUUCAGCUAUCAUGAUGAGUGAUCACUUGUAUAUGCCAUAGCCAUUUGGAUUUUUUUUGUUUGAGUGUUAUGAACUCCUUGAAGCUCCUAGUUUUAGUGUCUGGUUACAUUACAUCUUUAAUGUCAUGUGCUGUUGCCUGUUGGAAGCUUUACCAUUGCCCUUGAUUGGUAUGCUACGUGAGAUUGGCCACCUCUUUCUCUAACCUGUCUGUCAGCUAACAACUGCUGUAGAUGUUUUAUUUUCAAAAUUGUUAGUGUUUGAUCUUAGAUAUUGUAGGGUUUACCUGUAAAAUUCAUGUUCCUAAAGUCAGUUACCAAUUUCUUGAUGAACUAAUGUCCGUCCAAGAAAAGGUGCUAGGUCUACUCCAUAUAUCUUGACACGCAAUUACAAAAGCAGCAUUUUCCUGAAGUUUGUAUGGUUCUUUCAGCUAUUCAGCUAGCCAUUUUGUGGGGACAUCUCACUAGCUAUCUUUUGGAUCAUCAGAAAGUAGUUUUACUUUUUAACAUUUGUGUUGCGGGUCAUAUAUUUUCCUCGAAACUUAUUUUCUUCUUUUGCUUUACAAUAGGUAGGGAAAGUAUUUUUUGUCACCUUCAUAAACGUUGAAGUUCUGGACCGUAUUAGUUGUUGCAAAAAUGUUAGGGGCAGUUGUUAACUAAUUAUUCUGUAAUAGCUAAUUGGUCCAUUUAGUCGCUAUCACCUUCCAUUUUUGUGAAGAGCUUUGUAUUUUUUGAGUUUUUAAGGUUAGCCUAAAGUUAAUCAAACUGUAGACAUACACAAUUCUUUACCAUUACCAGACUUUUGUAUUUCCUGAUUAUUCUCUUAUAAAAUCCGUCAGUUUUUUAAGCAGCAGCUCUCAGAACAGUGUUCUGGGUUUACUGAGACAAUCGUAUCUAUCAGCUUCCCGGAAUCGGUAACAUUCCUCAGUAUAUUCAAGUUCUGGGUUGGUGUGAUACAGUAUAUAUAUUUAUAUAUGGUGUACAUAUAAGAAUGAUUCGAUUUGGAUUCGCAUCUUUCUUUGCUUGGCAGUUGGCGCUAAAAGGCAAGAGUCCAUGUACUAAUAAGUCAGUAAAGGUAGAGUGUGGGAUUGAACUGUAAAUUUGAAGAUUCCUUAGUGAAGAAAAUAAUGGAUUUCCCUCCUUUUUCUUUUCCAUCUCUUUUUUUUUUCUGGUUGGCAUCUCACCUAUCAUUACCUCUUUUAUGUCUUUAUCCGUCAAUAUCUAUCUCUUUCACUUUCUCCUCCUGCCCACAAAACAACAACAACAACCAUACUGGGAAAAGGGGAUGAACACACACAAUCCUCAUCUUUCAAUCUUCAUCCUUGUCUUCUCAAAAGAUUAGAACACAUUACUGGAAAUCUACAAGAACAUGAACAACACCAAUCUUUUCCUCACCCACUUUCUAUUGCUAGAACUUAAGAAGAUAAGAUUUCACAAUACAAGUUGCAAACACCCUUUUCAUUUUCACUUAUGUACAUGAUCAUUACCCUAAGUCCUAUAAUUUUCAAUCAGCAUAACAUACCUCAACACCAAGCAAUCAAAUUCAGACUAGCUAGUACAAGCAAAAUGAACAACUCAAUCUAGGCAGUAAAGUAAGCUAGUCAUCACCGUGGUUCAUGUUAGUAGUGGCAGUUCAGACAGUGGUAGAACACUGAGUCCCCUGCCUAGUAGUGAGUGGCCCUGAUGGGAGAGAAGGACCGAAAGCCAUAACAGCAACGCAAUCCACGUUCACUCUGUAUCUCCCGGACACCCAAGUCCCUACCUUCCACCUUAGUCGUCCGAGCACUUUGAGAUUCAAUACAAGUCUCCCAGCCGUCUGAUCACGUCCCACUUCAUAACCGAAAGAGGGAGCCACAGGCAGACCAUUUCCAAUCAAAGAAACUGUGAGGAGAUUGCUGUCUUCAUGUCCUUGGUAGAAAGGAGGCAGAGAUGUGUAAACUGUGAUCUGUUGGCCUUUGUAUUGAGCAUAUACUUUGAGCUCGUCGUAGUAAAUGCCAACUUUUUGAUUGGGGUUCUUGGAAAGCAGGGUGAGUUGGACGGAGGAGUUGAGGAGGUUAUUGCUUCCGGAGAGGUUGAGGAGGUAGAUACCAGCUUCUUUGAGAGAGAACUGAGGCUUGGUGGGGUGUAGAAUAAGCCAGACAAGUAGUAUUAAACAGAGGAUUGUAGUGAAUAGUGUAGAGAAUGCUGCAAAUAGCUUCUUGCAGUGCUUGUUAAUUUUCAGUCCUUGCUUAUCGCCACAGUGUUUAGGAGAUUUCGAGAGGGCUUGAGACAUUUGCUAAAAUGAAGAGAGAUUGGAGAACUCAAAAGUCAGAGAGAGAUGAGGUUUAGAGGGCUAAGUUAUAAGGGGAGGGGAGGUGAGGAGGUUAUAUAUAUAUACAAAGGAAGCAGAAGCUGAAAGCUGCAAUAAUAUUGGCUCCCUACUUCUUUUGACUCGCAGCUUCUUUUUUAUCUUUGCUUGUGCUGUGUGAACUUCUGGAAAUUGCCUUGAUUAAACUUAUUAGGUACAUGAUGCACAUAUAUCAACCAUUGGAUCAUUAUACAACCUGAUAAUGUUUCCCUCGUUCCAUGAUUCAUCUUGGGGUAGGACGAGCUUAGCCUUUUCCUAAAAGGAAAUUGAAUUGUUAUUGUAGUUCACUAACUUGCAAUAACAAAAGUCGCAUUGCAUUUGCAUGCAUGAUUGAAUAAUUUGGAGUUAGCAAGACAUGAAAACAAAUUAGAAAACUGCUCUUAAAUUAUUUACUUUUCGCAACUUAUAUUUACUUUACAAAUUUACUGAUGUAAUGAUAGCCAUACUGCUCUUUUUGGGGCAUGAGAACAAAGAUAUAUAUCACAUAUAUGGAUAUAAAGUCUGUAUGCCAGAAAAAUACAAACCCUUUACACGUUUCUGUAUUUUUCUGUUUGUUGGAUUCUUGAGAAUAAUUCUCAGAAAUCCAUUUCUCUUAUUUUUGUAUAUACGACAGUAAAUAAAUGUAGUAUAUCCUUGAAUCUGUAUAUGUGGUAUUAAGUCGAACAAUGUUAAGAGUUUAAGACGAAGAAAGUAUCUGUAUCCUGCAUAAUGAUUCAUGAAUAUACAGAAUCGAUGCAAAAGAUCUAAUAGGCUUUUGUUUGUGGACGAUUCUAACAUAGUUUUUAAUCCACCAUGUCAAAAGCAUUGGACAUGCACCUCAGCCUGAAUCAGAGAUUGGAUACACUUUUGGGAUAAUAGAGGAAAGUGAAGGCUUUUAAAAGAGCAAUAAGAGAUGGUGUACCAAAUAGCUUAGCCUUUUCUUGUUGAUUGAAGGUAAGAAAUGGUGCUAAUUAGCCUAGUGGCAGCCCCCAUAAUAUCUUCCUUUUUCUGCUCUUGUUCUAGUACAUGCAAUUAGAAAAGUGGGAUUAGGGAUAAAAAUACGAUUAAUUAGCGGUGUGUUUCUUGCUUAGUAAGACGCUGCUGAGAUUGGGAACUUUGAAGUUCUGGUCUUCUUUUAUGUUUUCAAAUUGAGCAGUGCAGUAGAAGAGUUCAAAAGUAGAGAAGACAUGGAGAAUCUAUAAAACAGUCUUUUGGAAACCACUGGCAAACAUUACCAAUCAUUCAUUUCUUGGUUUUAUUAUGCAUGCAGGUGCUCUUCCUUUUACGUUAAGAAAAGGGCUUUGAGAGUACUGCUUAAGACUGGUAGUUGAUGAAUCUUCAUCUACCGUCUGAUGUGAAUACUCGGAAAAGCGCUACAUCGGUCAUCACCAUUCGAUGUGAAUACCUAUGUUUUGUUAUGUAAUUUGGUAUGGUUGUUAUUAGGGACCCUCAGGCUCGAAUUUUGAAGGGAAUAUCAUACAUGACUUACAGCCUUACAGCAGUUGUUCAAGCUUUGAAAUUGAAGAGAGGUGUUUGAUUUUUGCUUUCUUGAAACUUUCCUAGAUAUUGAACCCUUUUCUUAAAUCAAAAAUACACAAGAGAAAGGACCCCAAAACCACCGUAAUGAUUUCUCGCCUGUUACUUUUCUCUAAACUUUGCUUGCUUAUUUCUUCUUCUAUUUCUGGGACCAAAAAAGAGGCAACCUUUAUGACUUUGAUUAUAAGUGGAAAGAAGGAAAAGGGUUUUCAGUGUUUCAUUUCAUUGAUUGUUUCAGAGAUAAGCAUGCACAGAUGUCCCAAAUGGUCACCUUCAACAUCGACUAGGAACUAUGAUAGGUACUGAGGUGCAUCUCUUCACCUAUUCCGAAUUGGUUGACAAAUAAAUUUAUCAAAAUCUAUAUAAAAUUUUAAGCUGGAUACCUAGUUUUCUACGAUUAUACGAAGUAUAUGAUUGCCUUAAUGAAGUACUUCUUCUUCAACCUUACAACUCCUGCACAAUUUAAGCACGGCAUUACCUGCUCUGCAAGGUUCAUAGGCAAAGCCAUUUUGUGGUGGAAGAAAAGGUGGAACCGUGCCUUGAGUAGUUGCUGUAAACAAACACUAGUUCGAAUUGGCGGGGAAGCCUUUAUGGGAAAUUACCUACCACAAUUAGUGGAGAAAAGCCAUUAUCAUUUUGAUGACUUUGACAUGUGUUUGCUUGGACAAUAGUGCAGCAACACAGGUCGUAGCCAUGUAAGACGUAUCUGUUGCUACUUGCUUGCUUGCUAAUAGAAAACGAUGUUCUUCCACUGCAGAAGUCGUUUUCUGGUCACCACAAUCUCCAGUGUAAUUCUAUUUCUUCUGUAAUUUCUCUUACUUUGGAAAAUCAUAAGAAAAUAUUGAGUUGACAGUUUUGAGUUCCCUCAGUUCAUGUUAUGUUGAAAACCUGUGUUUUGACAGUGAAAAAAGAAAAACGUGUGCCGAUUUUCAUCAAAAAUGUCAUUUUUGAACAUUUUCGAGAUUGUUUGCCUAGAUGCAGAGAUAGAUUUUAUGAUCUCAAAAAUUCAUUCUCAUAAUGUUUUAUGCAAUGAAAGAGAACAUUAGCUUAGAUAAAGGUCACUGGGACUCUGGGAGACAUGUACGAUUGAACAGACCUAGUGUUUUUUACUUUCCUGGGCUCAAAAUAGAAACUCUUGAAGUGUUCUUACCGACAGUCUCUAUAUUUUGUUGCACUCUCUCACCCCAAUCUGAAUUCAUCACUUCUUGUUUGGAAGUACUGAAGUUUUAUUUUGGUUGAUUGGAUAAUUGUUGAACUAUGUAAUCUACCACUCCAAUCUGACUGUCACUGAGUAUAUACUUGGAAUCAUUGAUAUUCCUUUGAAAUGAAAACAAUUUCUCCUUGCAUCUCAAAAAUUACAAAUCCUCGAGUAGUUAGUAACAAGAAGAUAAUCAAAUGAGUACAAAUGUAGUUUGUAUACCAGCUGACAUGUAAGUCAGAGUGAACAAACCUAUGUAUAAAUAGGGAAAGAAUGACCAAGGCAGCCCUAAGAAGAUUUUAAUAUAGGGUACAAAAAAAAUCUACAGCCCUAUAUUACAAGGGAUAUACAUGAUCUAACUUAAGCUCUAGGCAUCAAGAAAUGAACACGGUGUUACUUCAACUCUACAAGAACCCUCUACUUAAUCAUCAUAUGCAUUGCCAUCAGCUUCUGUAGGUGAAGGAUCAGUAACUUGACGAACAAAUUGUCCUUUUAUUCUUGGACGCUGCUCUGCAAGCUUCUUUCUGCUCUCGUAACGAACCUGUGUAAGAAGAAUAUAUCUCGUUAGAACUAUAGCCUAUUUUGCAACAAUGGUGGUAAAAAUGAAGCUACAACAGUAAGUAGAAUAAAGAUAAGAAUGUACCUUCUUCUCAUAACAUCUAUCUUUCCUCUUCAACCUGAAUUUGUUUAGAGCUGCUUCUCUUUGGAUUGAUCGAUUAUUUCCACUUUGAUUGAAGAAACUGUCUUCAUUCUUGCUCUCUGGAGCAGCUCUAAAUAUAGCCGCCUGAUCAACGUUGUUACUUCCACAAGCACUUCCAUACCCUAUGCUAUUAUUCCUAUUAAGAUGACUUGCAUUGCCAUUGCAGAAACUACUAGUUGCACUCUGAUCAUUUUUUGAAGAUAUAAGCCCCUCAUCGUAUCUUUGUUCCUGCUGCUGCAUUGUCUGGUUGUGGUCCAUGGCAACCUUGGAAUGAUAAGCUGGGUCAUACACAUGCUCUGGUUUAUGGUUUUGAGGAUUAGUCGGAUAAUAUGAACUCAUAAGAAAUGAGGGUUCCUGCUGGGCAGCUGUACUUCUCAUUGGUGAUGGACUUGAUUGUGUGCAAAACGUUGGAGGCAGUACAGUACCAUACCCGUUGCAUAGAUUGUUAAACCUUACACCUUUAACGGGAACAGGAAGAGGAAAUAAUUUCUGCUGAGGGCAUGACGUUCCAAUUUCAGAUUGGUUAGACUGCCCAGUAGCUGGCGUGAUGACACUCCUCGGAAUACUUGAAGUGGCAGCAGGAGUAUCACAAUCCAUAUAUACAGGGGAUGCAGGCUUCUCUGAUGUAGUUUCAUAUGCAUUUUGUCGCUCGUUUAUUUCAGUCAAUGGAUUCUGGGGCUGCAAUGGUCUGUUGAUGUAUCUGCAGGAGGGAUAAUUAUGAGUCCAGUGAACAGAAAUGUUUAAAUAAUCUAGCAAAGAAAUCAAUUAUUAAAACCAACUUCAUUGCGACUCUGUAUAUAAAAUUAUAAACCAACGAUUGACGAUGUGCAUGUAUCCCCAAAUUUCAUUGCAGAAAACAAAAAUGGAAACUCACCUUGAAAAGGCUGAGGCGUUAGAGCGGCCCAGGGUAUGUCUUUUCUCAGUAACUUGAGUCUCAAAGCCAUUAGAAUCUGAUCUUCUCAAAGAAAGGUCCAACUGCGGAGCAGAAUCAUAUGUACAAGGUCUAUUACUUGAUGAAGAAUUUCUCUGGUUGCUAAUUGGAUAACAGCUGGAUACUCCAAAGAAGUCUGUGACAUUUCUUGAAGAAUUGACAAGGAGAUCAUUAUCAUCACAAGCUUCACUGCCCAUAUUAGCAUCUCUCCUAUGACUUUCUGGCAUGGCGACCUCACCUAGUGGAGCUGCUAAUUUGUCCUUGUACACAUUCACUGCUGGUCCUAAUUAGAUUCACAGAUUGACAAAUGUUAACAGGCCUUCCUACCAAACUGAACAUAUAAGAAGCUGCUAAAAUGGAACGUAAAGAUAUAUCACCUCUGGCUUCAUUUUCAUGCAUAAGCAACUUUUCGCCACAAUUGGUGUUCCCUUCAUCUUUCUGCACUCUUAAGUCAUCCAGAAAAUUUUUAGCCUGUAUCUUCUGUGAAAAUUCCUGCAUAUCCAUACUCUCAGCCUCAAAAUCUGGCUUUGUACAAGAGCUCUGCAAGAGAGAUAAAACAUUCAGUCAGUCCACACUGAGCAAUGCCAAUUAAGGGUUCUUUUCUGCUUCAUUUUCAUAAUAUAAUGGAACUUUCAAAAUAUUAGAACACGAACCUGAGAAUCAGUCCCUUUUUCAUCGGUUUCCUUAUUCCUCUGAGCACAUGCCACAUAACCACUAGAAUGAGCAUCAUUAUCAGAUGUUCCUUCAAUCUUUUGUUGUCCGACACUCUCGUCUUGGGGGUUAUUUCUGGCCAACUGAUGGACAACAGAUUUCAAUUAGGCAUAGGCAGACAUGUUAACAUAAGAAUUUGAAACUGAAGUCGGAUAAAAAAAAAGUUCAAAGAAAUGAGUAGAGGCAUACAGAUUGUCUCCUCCAAACAUGCUGCCACAGGUUUCUCAGUUCAUUCUUUCUAAUUGGCUUAACAAGAUAGUCAGAAACACCUCUUGUCAUGCAUUUGUAAACUGUGUUAAUCGAAUCCUGAGAGGACAUCACUGCAACAUCACAAAAUAAGUUCAUAAGUACUUUUGAAAACCACCAUGACGAAAUUCAAAUAUCAUAUAUCAUGUCACAAUCAUUUGUUCUUCAUAUCAUACUUAUAACAGGAAUGUUUUUGCAGAUCUCAUGCUCCAUGAUUAGCGUAAGCAAAGCAAAUCCAGAUAUUGAUGGCAGAUCUACUUCCAUCAGUAUGAGGUCUAUCUUAUGGCACCUUGCCUUCAGUAUUUCCCAUGCUUUUAAGCCAUCAGGUACAGCAGCAACUGCUCAAACAAAAACAAGUACCAAGUUAAGUUCCACAGUUACAUCUAACCGAAAACAUUGAUAUGUCCACUCAUGUAGAUUUCACCACAUAACUGGGGUGACCCUUAGACUUGCAAUUUUACAGAUCUGCAAAUGUUCACAACUUUUUAAAAGGACCCUGAAAGGAGGUGAAUGGAGCUAAGAGUUCUCUUGAUAUCCUAUGUUUGCACUAUACAAUACAAAACUCUAUCAAAAUGAGUGACCUGAACCACAAAAACCUUUGUCCCUAGAACUCGAAAGAGGUUGUGUAGAAAGUAUUAAAGCACCUUAAUCUUGGCUAAUUAUACUCAGAGUACAGCUAGCUAGUUGUAAAUACUCUCUAAUCAGGUUAAUUCUUUGAAUUUAAACAUUGGUUAGAGCUGAUCUCAGCUUAUAUUGAAAGAAUCCAAUCUCUUACUGUUACUAGAACUAGACCCCUUCCUAUAAAUGGUUGACUUUGAUUAUAUUAACCAUCAUCUUAGCAGCUUUUCGUAUGAAUAGUAAUUAACACAAUUCAUAAGUAGAACAAUAUUUAGCUGAUCUUACAGAGAUUAGAUCAAUUUCUGUUCUUGGCCUACAGUUCUUAUCAUUAAGAUAAACCAACACAAAACCACAGACCACUUCAACUUCACUUCAUGUGAAUUCAACAAUAACAUCCUUCAAUUCUUGAUCAGCACAGUUUGCCACAGAAUUAGAAAACCAAGAUCUUAACCCUUUUCUCCUCUCCAACCCCAAAAAAAGGCAAGAAAGAAAAAAGAGAGUAAAGAAAUACAGGAUCUAACUCAUUGAAAUUCCUACAAACCCAACUUCAACAUCAAAAAAACACAAAACCCAGUUUGAUUAUUCCACCAAAAGAUCAAAACUUUAAAGCAUUCAACCAAAACCCAACUCACCUCUGUAGCUACAUUUCCUGAGCAAAGCAGCUAUAAUAUGCCUUGUAGAGUCAUCAGCCUCAACCAACAACACCCUCAUGUUCAUUCCAGGAAGAAGCUUCUCCCACCUCAUCACAACCCCACUUGAUGACUCACCACCAUUGUUCUUCAUCUCUGUACUCCUCUGCUUCUCACUCUCUGUACUACUCACCACAACCUCACCCAUUUUCACAGCUCCAACUUUUCACCACAAACUCAAAGAAAAACAGAGCUUUGUGUUUCAGAAAAAUCUCAUCCUUUUGCUUCAUAAAAAGCAAGUCCUUCACUUUUUGUCAAAGCUGAGCAGGAAAAAAUAUCCUGAAAAAUCUUUAGCUGCGAAUCCGACGGCGAAGAAAUCUUGGUCGGGGUGAUCCAACGGUGAGAAAUAUCUAAAAAGAGGAAAAAUAUCUUGGCCGCCACGUCAUCAAGCCAAUCUAGUCUAAUCAAAAGGCGCGGCGUCAUUGGGUUCUCUCUCUAUUCUGGUGGCCAGUAUUUUAAACUAGCAUUUUCUUUAUUUUAGGGAUUUUUGAGUGGAGACAGGUGGCAUGGAGGUGGGUCCCAUAGGUUAGAUAUAUAAAUCAUGCAAAUAAAGCUUUAACAUGGAGAUAUUUUGAGGAUAUUUAUGGGUGCUUUUGAGGGAGGGAGGCAAAUGGAGAUCAUGGCCAGGGAUGGUGCCACGUGGAUGGCAAGAGGGAGAGAGAUUAGGACCUUCCAAGUGGUCUAUUGCCAUCUUCACGUUUCUGAUGUGUGCUAUAAUUUAAAGUGGUGGGCUGUGAUUGACUAGUGGGUAAAGAAAACGUGUGGUGUUGUUUGGGUUUGAUUGGGUAAAAGGGAGAGUGUUGGAUGCUAUAGGAUACAAUAUUACCCACCCACUAGCACUGGUGGAUAUUAUACUCUUGCUUAGAGUGACAUUAACCUUUGUUUAAUAGCCUCUAGCCCUCUAAUCAUCUAGUAUUCUCUAGUUCAUACUAGAUGGCACCUAUGCCCUUGUUUGGUACAUUACACCAAAAGUCUCUUCAAUACUAUUUUUGUGUGACUUUGAGGUUAGGUAAGUGUUGGGAUGUUUGUAAGAGUUUGUACAUGAGUUUGUGGGAAUGAUAACACUAAUUGAAAUUUUCACAUCAAAUGUAUGUCAAUAAGAAAAGAAAGAUACGUAAGAAAGCAUUAGUGAUGAACUACCAAUUAACUUGUAGCAAAUUGUUGUAAAGUUGUAAUGUUGGUAAACUCAAACCCAUAUUAACACUUAAAAGUAUUUUUACUACUUCAACAAAUAAGAAUAAAUUAUGCUCUAUAAAUUACGUGAGAUAAUUAUAUAUAUAUAUAUAUAUGUAUAUGAGAAGACGAUAUAGUUUACGCGACCUAACAAAAAGCAUACGCAAACAAUAAUACCCUAAGACUUCGGAAGCGUAUAUCUAGCAAUGCAGUUAAGUUUUUUUGUUGUUGUUGAUAUAAUACCCCUAGAGUUGUGAAACAUCCUUUUAACUUCUAAAUUUCAAUAUAUUUUACUUCUAGAGUGAUGUUAUUAACACACCCCUUAUAUGGUGAGAAAUUGAGAACCAAUCAUCAAUGAAAUUCAGGUGAUAAGUUUGUAAAUAAAAUAAAAAUAUGUGGAUAGAAAAAUAAAUAAGAUGUGUUAAUAACAAAAAAAAGAUGUGUUAAUAGUAAUACCCUACUUUUAAGGACAUGAACGGAAGAACCUAGUACCCUUGCUAGUUGAUAAUAAAAUGAUAGUAGGCCCAACCAAUUAUAGUUUACAAGGACCCAACAAAAUGUGUUGAAGAAAAACAUAACACUGUAUUAAGAGGCCCAACAAUGUGUGUCAAGGAACCAAAGCAAUACCUUUUAUUUUCCUUUCUUUUUUUGGAAAUGUUUUAUUGUCCUUUCAGCCCUCACUUAUUUCAUCUUUAGUAUUCAACCUCAAAAAAAAAAAAAAAGUUUGUUGGAAUUUCACCCAUCAUUCUCACAAGUAGAGAAAAACUCCAAUAUUGAACUCAGAAAUAUCUACUCACACCAAUGCCUAUCCUUUUAAUGGAAAACCUUCCACAAAGUGACAAAAGGCAGCCAAUUUAAGGCAUUGGACUCAACACGUGUUAGUGGCUCCAAAAUGUCCAACCAAAGGCCCAUCUCGCAUUAUGCAUUGAAUGUAGAAUCCUAACCCAUCAAACCACCUCCACCGUCGAUCCUCCUCACUCCACAAAAUCAACGCCUCAGAUCUCUUCACUCUCUACACUUAACCGCAGAGAAGGUUUUGCAGUGGAUAACGUCUGAAUCUUUUGCCGCGUAGUGAAUGGUCCAUCAGUAUAUCCAAAAACCCCAUCUUUCUCUUUCUCUCUGCUAAAAACCCCCAAUUUGCUUUCACAAUUCCAAACCCUAAUUCUGAAUUCUGAACUAUAUCACCAAAAUGGCUGCUCUUUUUAGUCUACCAUCUUCUAGCUUCUUGGCAAAGCCCCAAAGCUCCAAGCUUUCAUCUGACUUUUCCAAUUUCCUGAACCCAUGUCAGAAUUUGAGACCCAUCUCGAUUUCUAUAAGACCCAGAAGCAAGGAGCAUGGUGUGAAGAUGUCCUGGGAUGGUCCAUUGUCUUCUGUCAAGCUGAUCAUACAGGGAAAGCACUUGGAGGUACUUAGUUUCAGCUUGGCUUGCUCUUUGGGUUGUCUUGAAAUGCUGGAAAUUGUAGAAAGAUGAUAGCUUUGAUUUGUUUUGAAGUUACUAAGUUAGGGGUUUGGAGAAUCUUGUUGGGUUUUGAUUGAUUUUUUUGGUGUAAUGCUGUUGUGUGUUUGGACUUUAAAGUUGAGCAACAUCUAUGAUCAGAUUUAAGAAAGUACAUUAUGCUGAAGAAAUAGUUAUUUGGGACACUGUUUAAGAACAAUUUUGUGUUUCUGAAACUAAUGGUUUGUAGCAAGUUUGUAGUUUUAGCUUACAUUUGCAGAAAAUAUAGCUGUAUAUGUGUUCAAGUUUGGAUCUUUAAGCACUUUUUAGAGGUUUGGAUUUGUUAUGUGCAUUAUUGCGGGUUUUGGGACUAAACAAACAAAUUAUGGCAAAACUACAAUCACAAUCUAAAGGGUUCUGGGUUUUGCAUUUGAAAGUGAUUCUUUGUUUUUGAGAUGAAAGAGUUCUAAGCAGUUCUGCUACAUGCAGCAGAUUUCAAAACCAGGAAAUUGAUUUUAUAUAGAAUACCAAACAACCUCCAAGUUAUCUGUAUGGAUGCCACUCUGAACCAUUUGUUUAGGUAGAAUUUGGAAAUUUGCAAUGACUUGUGAAGCUUUUGAUUAGACCUUAAGCUGCUGUUCUAUUUAAACUGCUCUAUUGGUGAGUAUUUAAUUAUGCAAAUGAGUGGAAUCUGAUUGAGAAAUUUGAAUAUGUGAACUUAGUUGACAGAACCAGUGAAGAAGCAUGUGGAAGAAAAAGUUGGAAAGGCGAUUCUAAAGCACAGCCACCUGGUGAGGGAAGCCGAUGUUCGGUUGUCUGUUCGUGGUGGAGAGCAAAAAGGCCCAAAGAUUAGAAGGUGUGAGGUAUUGGCAUAUGACAUUUGAAUGAAUGUUUCAGAAUAUUUGCAUUUGAGUAAAUGGUGCAUUCUCAUAAGCAAUUGUUUAUCUGUGUUCAUUUAGGUCACUUUGUUCACCAAAAAGCAUGGAGUGUUCCGGGCUGAGGAAGAAGGUGAGACACUUAUUGCAAGCAUAGAUAUGGCUUCUUCCAUCAUCCAGAGGAAGUUGAGGAAAAUCAAGGAGAAGGAAUCAGACCAUGGCCGCCACAUGAAAGGCUUUAACAGAUUGAAAGUCAGGGAGGCACAACUCCCCGUGGAAGUGGAAGAAUCAGGUCCCCAGGAUGAAGAGGAAGACUUGUUGGAUGAGGUUGUUCGUACAAAGUACUUCGACAUGCCACCUUUGACAGUAGCUGAAGCAGUAGAUCAACUGGAGAACCUUGAUCAUGACUUCUAUGCUUUCAGAAAUGAAGAAACUGGUAUGAACUACAAAAUUCCUUGCGCCUUCAUUGCCUUGUACAUCAGUUUUAUUUAUUUAUUCUGUCAUCUAAUGGUUGAAAUCUUUCUUUGUUAUUGCUCAGGUGAAAUUAACAUUCUAUACAGAAGAAAGGAAGGAGGCUAUGGGGUUAUUAUACCCAAAGGAAGUGGGAAAGCUAAUAAGGUGGAGAAUGUGGUGGUAGAACGUGCUUAUGAACACACUGCGGCAGAGUAAGAAGGACUAGGAAAGGUUCUGUAUAGUUAUGUUUUCCUCUAAUGAUCUGAAGGAUUUCGAGUAACAGUAACGUGAAAGCUGACGCCUCCUGAGACAAACUUUGAUCCAAAGUGUGAGAGGCAUUGUUUUGUACUGUAAUGUAUGAACCAAAAUUUCUGAUAUACAAAUUACAAGCAUCAUUUCAUUGUUGCCCAACACAUUGGGACUAGCCAAUAUUACAUGUUUAACUCCCUUCUAUUGGUUCUUGGUGCCUAAUGCUAACUAACAGACCAUCCAUGAAAAGAAAGAAAGAGAAUUGCUGAGGAAUUGAAAGAACAUGUAAAAAGAAAGACAAAUUGAUUGGUGCUUUGUGAAUUAAAAGGUAAAAGUCAUAGGGCAGCUAAAUGAACUGAACUUUCAUUCCACGUUCAGAUCAAUUACAUAAGCUGGCGUUUUCGGUGUAAAACUCUCGGAUGAAACAGUUAAGAGCUUAUUCAGUGACAUUCCUUCCCCCAAAAUUUUCCUCUUCACUUCAUACCUGGCUUUAAUUCUGUCAUCAAGUUUGUAUCCAAGGAAUGCAGGGAAGGCUAAUAACUCUCCGAUUUCACGACCCAUUUCAUUUAUCAAGUACUCCAUCUUCUUCUCCAAAGCACCAUGACUGUACUGCAGUAUCUGAGGAUGCCUCCUGCUCAUGACAACAAUGUCGGCACACGAAAAACCAUAACUCAAGAACAGCUCGAUCACUCUUUGCAAGUUAUCAGAGCUUGUUCUGGUGGCAGAUCCUAUUGCUGCUGCCAUGUCCCUUGUUCUAUACCUAUACCCAAUCUUCACCAAAAACACAAGCUUAUAUGCAAGGUUGUCUUCAAACGACAAGCCUAGAAACAAUGGAGCUUUGAUCAAGAACUUGUAGAUAUCAUUCGAACUCAACCCACAUUCCUUCAGAAACUUAAUUCUCGGACGCAUUUUCCUCUCCCUGCUGGCACUAACCACAUUGGGGAAAACAAGCAAGAUUUUGAAUAUCUGUUCAUCACUUAAACCAGCAAAAGACCUCAACAACUCAACAUGCCCUUUAGUAUGAUCCACAGUGUAGCUCAAAAUCGCAGGGAGCUUACCCAACAAUACCCCGGUGGCAUUUUCAUCUCCACCACUAACCUCAGUGAGAAACUCAACUCUCGGAGCCAGCUGAGUCUCCAAGUCAUAAUUCAGUAGCGAAGGACGCCUCACAAUCAAAUCAAUCCCACCAAAACGGUUCAAAAACGUAAUAGUCGUAUCAAUAUCCUCAACUGACUUAAGACACAAUGCCUUGUACAGAUUCACCUUGUUGAGAACAUCCACAAUCUUCUCAUCCGAAACACCGCGACGAAGAAGCAAUCCUACUUUCUCAUCAAAUCCCACCAAGAAUCUAACGUCUGCUGCCCGGAAAAGCUUCCUCAGCUGCCCUGGCUCAAUCUUGCCUGCCAAAUCAUGACGGACAAAACUCAAAAAGGGACCAAUCUCCUCAGCAGUUAACAAGUUCGGACAUUUGGUGAUCAAAUUGGAAAGCACAAGCCCAUCUAGUCCAACUGAAUUAAAGCACUCAAUCCGAGCUCGUAAACAAUCCAAAGACGUAAAAGACAGAACCGGGUUCUUGUUUAACAGAACUUUUGCUUCUUUGUCAUCGAUUCCAACCGCUUGCAACAGCGAGAACACUGUCCCUGCCACAAAAUAUAAGAAAUUAAAAUGUAGCAAGCUUAGGUUACACGCCAUCUAGACCGAGGGAGGGUUGCAUUGGUUUGGUUACCUAUAUCGGCCGUGAUUGGACUGGAACUGCAUUGGAGAUUGGGUCGGAAACCCAGUUGGGUUAGUAACGGGUUUGGGUCGGGUCUUGGGGUUUUAGCGAGUGUUGGCAGAGAAGACCAUUGAUGGUUAUGGAAGGUUGAGAGUAAAGAGUGUGAGAUAUGAGCGGUGGGAGGAAGUGGGUAUGGAAAUGGAGAAUCAAAGAAAGAAGGAGUGGGGAAAGGGUGUGUGAAGAGAGCGUAGGCUGAGACCAUGUUAGUGAUUGAAGAGGUUUCGGCUAAGGAGUUGGGAGCUUGAAGACGACGGUUAACGUUCGUUUUGGGAUUGGAUUGGAUAUUAUGGGCCACAACCGCGCGUGCACUCUUGUCAAAGCCCAAUUCAUUAUUACUUUACAUCAAAGGUAGGUUUUUAAGACCGAGAGACUAAUCUUUGUCGGAAGAUAUCGUCAACUUAAACUCCACUUAACGACUAAUCUUUGUCGGAAGAUAUUGUCAACUUGAACUCCACUUAGGCUCUUACCAGCUCGAUCACAUGUGGCUUUUAAACCGCAAUUCAUAUGGCCUCAUACAAGUCAUGAGGAGUCAUGAGACUUGGAAUGCAAUGGUAUCUCGAAACAUAUUAAGCUUGCAAAAUAAUUAACAGCUCGAUCACAUGUGGUUUUUAAACCUCAAUUCAUAUGGCACCUCCCAAUUCAUACGAGUCAUGAGGGGUCAUGAGACUCGGAAUGCAAUGGUAUCUCGAAACAUAUUAAGCUUAAUUUAUAGUAAAUAUCUUGAACUUCUUUAGUUAUGCAAAAUAAUUAUUUCAUUUCCUGUUUUGGUAAAAAGUAAAUAAAAAAUGUUACAUGAAAUUAUGGACACACACUUGAGAGAACUCUACACUUAAUUCGCCAUUCACAACACUUUUGAAUCCUAAUGAGUAAUGACAGAAGUAUGAUAGGUGAUCAUAACCAUCUUCAACUCCCUGAGUGUGACCAGACCUCAUAUACUCAUAUCUGGAAAGUUUCUGAAAGGCCUCUAGAAGAGUCGAUAAACACUCCGCCGGUGCUGUCAUUAGGCUGUUGCAUUGCAGACAGCUAGAUCUUUCUGGGGGCAAAACUUCCCCCUGUGGCUGAUUUAUGAUCAAUCAUGCCUUGAAUUUCCUUUGGCUGUCCUUCAGACACUUCCUGGGAAGCUUUCCUUCAUUUUUCUCAUCCGUGGGAAUGCCUUUAAUAAAGACAAGAGACGAGCCAUCCUUUAUUGUUUUUCUUGGUUUCAAAGGAAACCUGGAACACAACCGAUGGACAAGUCUCAACCUUUAGUUAAAUAGCAGAAGUAACAGAAUAUCGAAAUUAGAUACUACUUAUUGCAAGUGCACUUACCCCUUUUCUGAAUCUUCUCUGUCAUCUGGCAUGUUGUCUUUACAGAAAUCUUUCCCUCUGUCAUUAAGAUUAUCAGUGGCGUCUUUGCAGACUUCCUUCCUUGCGUCAUUCCGUGAAUUCUGGACAAUGAAACAAGGGGAACAAACAUCAAUUCUUAAGUUCAUAUGAACAUGUAAAACAAAGCUACAAGUAUGACAUGCUGCAUUUAAGAAAGCACAAUAGUCAAAAUACAUUCUCUCCAAAAUGGCUCCGAAGUCCGAACAGUUGCAUAAUUCAAACUUGCAACACAAAAUCUAAUAAUCGAAACUCUUGAUAAAUUCUGAACCAGAAGGUAAAACCUGGCUAUAUCCAUAGCAUAAUGUCAUCAGAACUUAGCAAUAGUCUCCCUUACAUAGCAUUAAACUACCUCAAUUACUUUUUCGCCUUAUACAUGGAUAGAUCAAUGAGGGUGUAUCCUUUCAUCUUAUAAACUGAUAGUUCUUCUGUUGUGGGUCUCAACCCCAACAUCUUCAUCAUUAUAUUAAGAAAUACAUCAACUCAUUUAUACCCGAAUUACUGUUCUUGAAAUAGAAAGGAGGAAACUAGAAGAGUUGUAGCUCUGGAUUUCUGAACCCCAUUUCACUUACUCCAGUACACCUUCCAAUUAACUGAAGGCAACAACACUACUGUUGCUCCUAUACUCAAUGCAAACAUCAAAUUUCAAACACAUGAAAUCACAAACUAACAACAUUACAUGUAGCAUUUCAAAAGUGUCAACGACAUUAUCAUAUACCAAUUCAGCAUCAAAUAUUCUGAGAAGCAUUACAUGCUGAGCUCUACAAACAAUUUCACCGCAUUAUUAUAAAACUUAAAGCACAACCAGGCUAAGAAAUGAAACAAACCAAGACACAAAAAUGUUUUUAUCUUACUUCAAUGGGGUUGAGAGAUAUACAUUGAUCCGAAACCUCGGCUUCCUUCUUCUUCUUCCUCUUCUCCUCAAUGCCAUCAUCACCUUCCUCAUCACCACUCACCACUUUCCUCUUAUUCCUCCCAAAGCUCCUCACCUUGCUCUUCUUCUCCCUCACUUUCCAAACACUCUUUCUCCUAAACACCAACUUCUCCGUCUUCCAAACUUCACAGCUCGUAUCGAUCACCGUCACUUCGCUCUUCGAAUACCCCUUCAGCUCUCUCUCCCCUCUCUCCUCCAACUCUACCUCAUUCUUCGAAUUCAACGAAGGCACAGUCCUAAGGUCAUUUACGUCAUUUCCAAUGCUGCCUGAGCUCUUGAGUUUGCUAGUGACACAGAGUCUGGGGUGGGUUUGUUUUCUGGGGACUUUUUUCCCGGAAAGUCUGGAGCUUUCUUCGGAGCCGUCGAUGAAGAACAGCUCGGAGAUGGCGGUGCUCAUCAGGCCCAGCAAUGCCUCUCCCUUUUUGGCGUCUCGGGUCGGACCGGAAGAUUCGGGUCGAUUUGAGACAAGUGGAGUUGAGUCGGCAUUGGGGUUUGGGGAUUCCGAGGAGGAGGUGGGGUUAUGUUUAAGGAAGUGGUCGAGGUCGAGGUUGUCGCAGGCAGGGAAGCCCUUGUUGGACCGGAGGCGGUCCAGCCAGUUGGGACCGGACUUGGUGGCGCGGACGGAGCAGAGCAUUGGUGAGGUGGAGGGAUCUGAUUGGCUGGAAGGAGAGAGAGGUUUGAUUUGGGAUCGAACAGGUGAUGAUUGGGGUCGAAGAAUUUGGGUGUUUGGUUUGGUCGAUGAUGUUUGAGUACGGAGCUCAAAGGUGAAGACUUGGAAGUUGAAACGAAGACUGUUCUGUCCUGUGUUACGUGGCAAAUAGACGAGUAUUUGUUGGCUUUUUUACUUUUACAGUUUUACCUUACCAAGCUGGAUUGUUUGAACCCUACUUACAACAAAGGUUCGAAAGCUCGUUAAGCGCUAUUGGAUUAAGCGGUUUUUUUUAUCAGGUAAAUUAUAAUUGCGUGAGUCAAACUCACAACCUCUCACUUACUUACAACAAAGGUUCGAAAGCUCGUUAAGCGCUAUUCGACUAAACGGUUUUUUUUAUCAGGUAAAUUACAAUUGUGUGAGUCGAACUCACAAUCUCCCACUUACUAAAGAGGAAACUAUGUCACUAGAUCAAAUGAUACUGGGCCAGACUUAGCGGUCUUGAGUUUGAUGCAAUUCUUGAUAUAUUUCACUUGAUGAAAUAAUGUAAUGAAUUUUCCAAUACAGUUUUUAUGUUCAUCCCAUCAAAAUUCAAAAUUACGUGAGUUAUGAUUUCAAGUUUUUACUUUUUAAGAUUUAGGAGUAUUAAUGCGGGAUGGUCAUUAUUUGGUUCAUUCAUUACAUGAACUAUGAUCUGAUAAACAAACUAGGUAGAGCGCAUACAAGAACCAAAAUGAUAAUUCUGGUUAAGAUAGAAAGUCAAACAAGGUGAUCCUCUAUCUCUAAACCUAUCUAUAAGGUUUUAGGCGACGUCGAAAACAAGAACACCCUUCAGCCACCGGGAAACAAGCACUUGGAAGUUGAAAACUUUAGACGACAAACGUACGAUACCACAGCUUUUGUCGUUUCGCCUCCUUCUCUAAACCUCUGCGCUUGGAAAUCUAUGUACGUAUCAAACUAUCUAAUCUUUGUCGUCCACCAAUCCCACAUCCUAUUUUUGCUUUGAGGCCUCCCCUGGUUUUCCUGACGCCACUGAAACGGCGCCGUCGUAUAUGAAACCCAAACCAACUCCUAUUAGUUCCUUUGUUUGAUGCUAGAAAUCCCCAGAAACCAAAAAUAUAUUAACGAAGGUGCAGAGUUUGUGUCAAAGUUUCGAGCAACAUGGGUCUGAUUGGUGCGCUGCAUGAGAUUUUGGAGAUGGUGAAAAUAGAGUACACCGACUUUGUGAUGCUUCUGGGUCCUUUGUGGACGGCUUUUCUUAUUGGUAUUGUGAUUGGUUGGGCGUGGAAGCCAAAGUGGGCAACAUUUGGUCAGGAAAAACUGAACUCCUCUGUUUCUAAAGCCUUGGAUUUGUCAUCCAUGCCUACUUCUCCGGCUAGGUCUGUGAUGUCACCACCACUAAAAGGGUUCUCAUCAGCACCGUGCUUGUUCCAGGGCUAUGAAGCUUGGAUUAUUAACAAUGCAGUUCAUAAUGCUGUGCAGAAGAGGCUUUCUCCCUCACCUAUCGAAUUUGAUGACCAGAGGUAACGAUAUUUGUGACAGUUUUGUUUGUGAUUUGAUGUGAAAAGAAUUGGACCAAAUUUCUUAGUGGUUUUUGUACAUUUUGUGUAGUACAUCGCAGAUGAAUGAGAAGAAGUCUGAUGUGGUGGCUCAGGAGGAUGUAGAACAUCUAUGUCAGCUUGUUGAUAUGAAAGAUGGAGGUCCGAGUUGGAUACAUAUGAUGGAUCGUUCGACUCCAACUAUGACUUGUCAAGUUUGGCGUAGGGAUCCCAAGGUAAUUGGUUUCCCUAAUUUCUCAUUACUAGCAUAGUUUUUGUAGACAGUAGAAUUCAUUACAAACAAGCACAGCCAUGUUUCAUUGCAAGGAGAACUGUUUAAGGACAUAAUACACAAUACAUGUAACAUUGUUUCCUAUUCUUCUGUUAGAUUGGUCCUCCUCAAUAUCGUAGCAGGACUGUGUAUGAGGAUGUAACACCGGAGCUAGUGAGGGACUUUUUCUGGGAUGAUGAGUUCCGGUUAAAGUGGGAUGACAUGCUUAGUGAGGCCACGACCUUAGAUGAGUGCCCAACCACAGGAACAAUGGUUGUUCAGUGGAUAAAAAAGGUGAGACUUGAAAUCUGUUUUUUAUGUUCUCACUUCUAGAGUUCUAGUCAGUUACGAUUAUAAAGAUUCUCGCUUGCAUAUGCUUAAUUAAGUUGUUUAUCUCUGCAUUGCUCUCAUUCUGCAGUUCCCUUUCUUCUGUAAAGACAGAGAAUACAUAAUAGGACGGCGAAUUUGGGAGUCAGGAAGGUUGUAUUAUUGUGUGACAAAGGUAUGAGGGAUGGAUUUUUUGUUUGACAUCUAUGUUCUUUUCUCUUAUCACUUCACUUAAUCUGAUGAUUGCUGGCCUCUACCUUGCAAUGCCAUUUGUUGAUGUGAAAUGGGUAAUAGCACAUACCGACGACUAAGCAGAAAUAGGGUUCUGUUAUCAUUUCUUUUUUGAUUAGAUACAUCAAUGUUUGUCUUUUCACUUGUAGGGAGUACCCUAUCCUUCUAUUCCAAGGCAUGACAAACUAAGACGUGUGGAUAACUACUACUCAAGUUGGUGCAUUCAAGCAGGUGUAUAAACUUAUGCUAGUCCUCUUUGAUUUCAUCAAAAUGACAUAUCUAUAUCCAGUGCUUUGGUUUCAUCAGCGCAAUGAUCAAGUGGCAUUCUUAACUUGUACAUAACCUGCAGCUGAAUCAAGACACGACAAUGGCCAGCUCAGUGCAUGUGAAGUUCAACUGUUUCAUCAAGAGGAUAUGGGGAUCCCAUGGGAAAUCGCAAAACUUGCUGUACGAAAAGGAAUGUGGGAUACUGUAAAGAACAUAGAGUCUGGUUUACGUGCUUACCAGAAACAAAGAGCGUUAGGGGGGAUAAUUUCUCGGCCUGCCUUUAUGGCGCAAAUCAACACCAAAAUAAGUCUAGAGUAUCUGAAAGCUUCCGCUGGCACCGAGGUUUCAUCACAAACUGCAGUGGUGACUGCAUCUGAUGACAAGCCUUUCGGUGGGAACAUACGAAAUCUCAUAAUAAUUGGUGGGAGUAUUCUUCUUGCAUGCACUCUUGACCGGGGGUAUCUGGUAAAGACAAUAAUAUCCGGUGUGGCCAAUAAGUUCGGAAAUGUGGGGAAGAAAUCAAAACCAAAGUGAUUGGAUCUAAUCCAAGAAGUAUUGACAGGUAUUCAGUAAUCUGCAUCCUGAUAAUUCCCUUUUCCGAGUUUUCAACAGGAUACAAAGAGCACACUAGUGUAGUACCAUAAACCCUCGUCUUACUAGAGAAAGAGGAGAGGUUAUUCUUUAGUUGAAUAACUAAUAAAGCAUAUGAACCCUAGAGUUGUUGUAUCCAGAAUAUGGUGACAUUUUGUAGCUGUAUAUACAUAAACAGAUAUUCUUUAGGUUUCCACACUGCUGAAUUAGGCACUUCAGAUUGGGAACUAUCAGAAACAGAGUUCAAGUCUCGUUGCUUAUGUUAGUCUUAUUUUCACACUGGCUUCUUCUAGAUUUAAUCAAUACUGAACUAGAUGGAGUUUCCUUGCUCAUAGUAUGUGAAUUUAUUGUGGUUUUUCGUAUUUGUAAUGGGAAUCUCAAUCAUAAUAGAAGGAAUUGUAAUCCACCGAUGGUUGUAUAUGUUGAGAAUAACAAUGUUAGUUGACAGAUGAAUGACAACAAGGAAAGAUAAGAGAUGAAUUCCUCAUGAUAUCUAUUCCGUUCAAGUGUAGCAGCUGGAAAUUGAAAUGCUGAAAAGAGAGGAGAGGAGAUGAGAUAUAUUUCCCUUUCAUGAACUAUAUACAGACUGGAAGUAAUGCAUGUAUCCUUGGCAAUUAACGACCAACCAAGGUUUCAAAAGAUUCCAAACCAUCAAAUUGGGGUGCCAACUUUGGCAUUUGUGUGCUGCUGAUCACCUCCACCUUGGCUUUUCUCAUAAAGUUCUCAAUAGAUGCUCGAAUCCCACCUCCAAUUUCCUGAUUCAAGAAGUUGAUUCAAAUACAAAUCAUGCAGAUUAGACAUAAAGAUUCGCUCUGAGUUCUAACCUUUUGUUUGUAAUGGUUUUUGUCGAUGAAGUAAAUCCCAGCACCAGCAGCAACGACAAAAGGCAGUGACAUACUGAUAGUACUCGUGGCCAUUGCAACUCCAGAAGAUAACAGUUUAUUGAGGCAAUUGGCCUUUCUAAUGAUAAUGUGUGAAUUUAUAGAUAGCUUUGAGUGGAGGGAAGACAAAAGGGGAGUAGAGCAAAGGAAUGUGAGAUGCCUUGGUGGUGAAGGCAAGUAAAGAAUGGCACCAUUCACCAAUAAAGACGGAUUGACGGAAAGUUAGAAAAGCAGAAACUAAUCAAACUACAAGCUAGUAUGGAAGAGAUUAUGGUCCAUUUCGUUCGAAAACAAUACAUGCGGAACAAAUGAACAAUGACUCAUAACAAUAACAAAAUUGCUUUAUCUGCAGUUUUUCUUUAGGGGUACGCAAGUCUGCAUACCAUGCGACGAUCAUCUCAAAAAGAUAGUAAGUGACCAUGUAAAAAUCAUUUACCCUCUCAAAAUCCCGCCGCCCCCCACGCCACGAUUUCCAUUAUGUAUUCUAUAUACACAUAUCUCUACAAUAGACAAACACUUUCCUCUUUCUUUAGACAUGUUACUGAGACCUCACCUACAAAUUUUCCGACCAUCUUAACGCAAAAUUUACAGAUCCGGUAAUCCAUUUUAACCCGAUAAAACAUAUAAGUGUCGUACAUUCCAUUUAGAAUCUCUCAAUAAUAAUGCUACAUGAGUGUCACUAAUGCUAAUGUUUUAUCUUGCUCCCCAAAAUCAGUUCGAGAAGUGCAAAAAUAUUAGAACUAAAAUGUAAGAAAAUAUUUGUCAAAAAAUUAGAACAUACGUUUUUAGGCCAAAAAACAUGUGCUAUACCCACAGUUUUUGGGGCGAAAUGAGUUUUUGACGAAAAAAAAUUAAAGUUGGAGAAAAUUCAGGAGAAGGCUCCCAUUAUGUUAGAUAUUCAUAACCUAAAAGGUUUUUGGCGAAAAAUCACAUUUUUUCUAUUACAUAUGGUCAAUAUUUGAGUCGCAUUCUCGGUCUUCACAUUGACUUUGAAAAGUCAUAUAAGAAAAUCGGUUCAACAUUUUUUAGUUCUGUCAGUUCGAGAAGUGCCAAAAUAUCACGACCUAAUUGUGAGAAAAUUUUUGUAGAAAAAAAAAAAAGAAACAUGCAUUUUUAGGCCGAAAAACGUGUGCUAUAUAUAGCCCACAGUUUCUGGCGAAAAACGAGUUUUUGAUGGAAAAAAAUUAAAGUUGGAGAAAAUUAAAGAGAAGGCUCCCAUUAUGUUAGACAUUCAUAACAUAAGAGGUUUUUGGUGAAAAAUCACAAUUUUUCCAAUACAUAUGGUCAAUAUUUGAGUCACAUUCUCGGUCUUCAUAUUGACUAUAAAAAGCAUAUAAGAAAAUCGGCUCGAUAUUUUUUAGUUUUGUCAGUUCAAGAAGUGCCAAAAUAUCAAAACCUAAAUGUGAGAAAAAUUUUGUGAAAAAAAAUAGAAAAUGUGUUUUUAGGCCGAAAAACGUGUGCUACCACAGUUUCUGGGGAAAAACGAGUUUUUGACCAAAAAAAUUAAAGUUGGAGAAAAUUCAGGAGAUUCAGGAGAAGGCUCCCAAUAUGUUAGACAUUCAUAACCUAAGAGGUUUUUGGCGAAAAAUCACAUUUUUUCCAUUAUAUAUGCUGAAUAUUUGAGUUGCAUUCUCGGUCUUCAUAUUAACUUUGAAAAGUCAUAUAAGAAAAUCGGCUUGAUAUUUUUAGUUCUGUCAGUUCGAGAAGUGCCAAAAUAUCAAGACCUAAAUUUGAGAAAAUUUUUGUGAAAAAAAUAGAACAUGCGUUUUUAGGCCGAAAAGCGUGUGCUUUUGGGGAAAAAUGAGUUUUUGACGAAAAAUUUAAAGUUGGAGAAAAUUCAGAAGAAGGCUCUCAUUAUCUUAGACAUUCAUAACCUAUGAGGUUUUUUUUUGUGAAAAAUCAUAUUUUUUCCAAUACAUAUGGUCAAUAUUUGUGUCGCAUUCUCGGUCUUAAUAUUUACUUCGAAAAGUCAUAUAAGAAAAUCGGCCCAACAUUUUUUAGUUCUGUUAGUUCGAGAAGUGUCAAAAUAUUAAGACCUAAAUGUGAGAAAAAUUUUGUGAAAAAAAAUAGAACAUGCGUUUUUAGGAAUUUAAAAUGUGUGCUAUAGCCCACAGUUUAUAGGGAAAAACGAGUUUUUGACCGCCUAGACCCACGUAGGUACCACCUAGACCCAAUUAGGGGAUUUGAAUUUGCCAACCAGCAAAGGUUGGUGGUCUCCAUGACCAUCCAAUCAAAAAUUGGAUGGUUAUGAUUGAAUGGUCAUGGAGACCACCAACCUCUGCUGGUUGGCAAAUUCAAAUCCCCGAUUAGGGACCGCCUUAACUCGCUUAGGGACUGCCUUGACCCGCUAAGAGGCCCUACACCCACUUAGGGACCACCUACACACUCUAAGUGACCGCUUAGGGGUCGCCUUGACCCGCUUAGGAACCACCUAGACCCCUUUGACCUGCCAAAGAACAGCCUUGACCCGCCAUGACCUGCCAAGGGAUCGCCUUGACCCUCCUUAUCAAGACAAGGGGUUGCUUUGACCUGCCUUGACAUGCCAAGGGACGCUUUGACCCACCAAAGGGCUGUCGAGACCCGUCUAGGGUCGCUAGUUGGCCGCCCUAACCCGCCUUUACCUGCAAGAGACCGCCGUGACAUGUCAAUGGGCCGCUUUGACCCGCCUUAAAUUGCCAAGGGACCAUCUUAGCCCUCCUAAACCAACGUAGGUAUCACUUAGACCCGCUUAGGGACCGCCUAGGCCUGCUUAUGAACCACCUAGACCCGCUUAGAGGCCGCCUAGGGCCGCUAAGGGGUUGCAGAGACCCACAUUGGGCCGCCAAGGAUGCGCCUUGACAUGCCAAUGGGCCGCUUUGACCCACCUUGUCCUGCUAAGAGACCGCCUUGGCCCUCCUAGACCCACGUAGACCAACUAAGGACCGCCAAGGCGUCGCCUUGAUUCUCUUACGACCAUUAAGACCCGCCUAGACCUGCUUAGAACCGCGUAGGGACCGCCUAGACCCGCUUAGGGGUAGCCUAUACUCACCAAGGGGCAGCCGAGACCCGCCUAGGGCCGUUAAUGAGCCGCUAAGGGGCUGCUUUGACCCGCCAUGACCCGCCGAGGGCCGCCAAGCAACUGCUUUGACCCGCCUUGACCUGUUAUGGGACCGUCUUGAUCGCCUUGACUUGCCAAACGACCGCCUUGACCCGUCUUGAAAUGCCAAGGGGCCGCUUUGACAUGCCAAGGGGCGGCUUUGACCCGCCUUAACUUGCCAAGGAACCGUCUUGGCCCUCCUAGACCCACGUAGGUACCACCUAAACCCGCUUAGGGACUGCAUAGACCAGCUUAGGAACCUCCUAGACCCGCUUAGAGGCCGUUUAGGACCGCUAAGGGGUUGCCGAGACUCGCUUAGGGCGGCCACGGGGUCGCCUUGACUCUCCCAGGGCUAUAAAGACCCGCCUAGACCUGCUUAGAACCCGCGUAGGGACCACCUAGACCCUCUUAGGGGUAGCCUAGACCCGUCAAGGGCCACCAAGGGGUUGCUUUGACCCGUCAAGGGCCACUAAGCGGCUGCUUUUACCCGCCUUGACCGGUGGUUACAUGCUAACGGGCCGCUUUAACCCACUUUAACUUGCCAAUGGACCGUCUUGGCCCUCUAAGACCCACGUAGGUACCGCUUAGACCCACUUCGAGACCGCCUAGACCCGCUUAGAGGCCGCCUAGGGCCGCUAAGGGGCUGCCGAGACCCACUUAGUGUCAUCAAAGGGGUGCCUUGACUUGCCAAAGGACCACCUUGGCGCUCUUAGACCUACGUAGGGACCACCAAAACCCAUUAAGGGCCGCAAAGGCUGUUCCUUGACCCGCUUACGGCAAUCAAGCCCUGCCUAGAACCUGCAUAAGGACCGUCUAGACCCGCCAAGGGGAUGCCAAGACCCACCUAGGGUCGUCUUAACCCGUCAAGGGCUGCCAAGAGGCUACUUUAACACGCCUUGACUUGCCAAGCGGUCGUUUUGACCAGCCUUGACAUGCCACGGGGCCGCUUUAACCCGCCUUGAAACGCCUAGGGACCAUCUAGACCCCUUUUGACUCACCUUGACCUGCUAAAGGACUGCUAGGGGCUGCCGAGACCCACAUUGGGUUGCCAAAGGACUGCCUUGGCCCUCCUAGACCCAUGUAGGGAUCACCUAGACCCACUAAGGGCCGCUAAGGUGGUGCCUUGACCCGCUUACGACCGUCAAGCCUCGUCUAGACUUGCUUAGAACCCACGUAUGGACUGUCUAGACCUGCUUAGGGGUAGCCUAGACCCGCCAAGGGGCUGCCGAUACCCUCCUAGGGUCGCUAAUGGGCCAUCUUGACCCGCCGAGGACUGCCAAGCGACCACUUUAACCCGCCUUGACCUGCCAAGGGACCGCCUUGACAUACCUAUAGGCCGCUUCGACUCGCCAUGACCGCCUUGACCCACCUUAACAAGCCAAGGGGCCGCUUUGACCAGCCUUGACGUGUCAAGGGGUCGCUUUGACAAACAAGUACACAAAAUCAAUCAAUCAUAUUUAGAAGCAGAGCCUAAAAUGAUCAUAGCCUAAAACAAGUACACAAAAUCAAUCAAUCAUAGCCUAAAACAAGCACAGCCUAAAAAGAAAAGAAGAAGAAGACCCAGCCAUAAAAUUGAUCAAUUCGCAGUAAAUCAGGCUACCUAGGCACUGAAUCCUUCAAAGCUCACCUCUAGUCAAAUCUGCAAGCAUCUUGCUAACCGUAGUUCUUAGCUUCGCAUCAGUCAUCUUACUUCGAGCAUAACCAAAAAUAGUAAAGUGCUGCAACAAAGAUCACACAUUCAUUAUCAAACCUACUGAUCCAAACCUCGAAAUCAAUAACAAACGAGAGAAAGAAAAACAAUUUCACACACCUUAGGAGGUAACCGUCAUGAUGAAGUACGAAAAGAGCCAUGAAUAUCUUCUUCUCAGCAAAGGAUCACCAGAUGCUCCAACCAUAGUAAUACUCAGUGGACGACUAAACCCACUCGAUUCUUUACUUUUCUUUAAAGACCCAGCCAUAGCUGAAAGCAAUCCAUCUUUCAAUUUCUUGAAAGCAAUUUCAUUCUUCACAGGCUUUGUUGCUUGAGCUACUGCCCACACAACCGAUACAAAAUCCAAAUAAGACACUAAAAUCGAAAAGCUAAGUCCAAAUUGAACAACAAAACUACUUUGUUUUACUAAAAUCCCAAAUGCUAUAAACAUAUCAAAUUGAUCAAUGACUAAGUUUAACAAAAUAAAGACUAAAACUUUACCCAAAUUGGAAAUUGAAAAAACCCAACUAGGAAAGAUAGAUUCGUACAAGUCUAACUAGUGCAAAACGAUCAACGCCGACCCAUAUUACUAGAGUGCACAACAACUGUUAACAUCUCACCGGAAUUGCAAAACAAAAAAGCAAGUAAUAUAGAUUAUCUGAACCUCGAUGCCGGCGAUUCAGAGGCCGCCAGUCUGAGUUUCUUAUCAGCGCUAACAAAAGAAGAAGGAGCAAGCACUCACUGUUGAAUCAUGGAACUCAAUCUGAGUUUCUUCUCGAUGCCUAGAAUAGUCACUUGCUUCGAUCUCCUCACUCCCUUUCGGUCACUCCGCUCAAUCAAUCAUUUCAUUCAAUCUGGUUUACUUCUUCACUGUUCAACCCUCAUCACUCUGCCUUCUGCGUUUUUUUUCACUUUUUUUUUGUUUUCACGGUCAACAGACGGAAAAGCUUGACGGCUCCGACAUGUGGUUUACAGUCUCCACGUCAGUAGGCACCGUCUAAGCCGCUUGGGUUCAAAAAUGCCCGGUCUAUUCCAGACGACUUCUUUUGUUUGACUUGUGGCCUUGGUCACCAAGCUCGUCGACUUGCAUUCAUGGGGCACUAUUAUGCACUUCUUGCACCUCAAGUUUCCUGUCGCCAUUAAGAAGGUAAGCAAUUCAAAAUUUUCUUCUUUAGUUCCCACUUCCCAAUGGUCUUACAGUCAAAGUGAGUACUAGAAAGAGUGACCAGUCAACAAUCCUCUCAAUCUUCUCUAGUUGCGUACUUGCUUAGUAUCACUAGGCCUCUGAUUUUUUACUACAAGUCAUUUGGGAGGCAGCAAGGAAAAAUGGAGGUGCAUUAUUUUUUUUUGUCGUGGCUGCUGCGUCUCUCCAGAUACAUCAUCUAUAUACCGAUGAAGAUCUUUUAAAUUUUUAGCAGUUAUCCUGAGAUGCAUUUAACCAUAACAAAAUUUGUCAUAAUGUAACAAGUCAUAUUAGAUUUGAUCUCUAACUAUAUAUUAUAUAUUAAUAAUUGUCACGUUCCCUGUGAAGUAUACUUUAUAAUAUUAGAAAGCAUAUUUCUCAUAUCGAUGUGUUUAAAAGCUGCUGUAAUACAUUUGUCAUACAUACAUCAAUAAUUCAAUACAAUUCUUCUUCAUAAGUUGAUUCCAGUAAGCGCACCGCUUCUUGCAAAGAGAUACAGAACCAAUUAAUGAUGGAUGCAGAGAAACAAAGAGGCGGUCUUGAAUCGCCUUUGAUUCCUGCUCCUCAUGAACAUGCUCUACAAUCAAGAAAGGGAUUGCUGAAUAAAGAUGAAAUCGUCGAGGAAGUGAAGAAGCAGCUUUUGUUAGCAGGGCCACUUGUGUCAUCGAACUUCCUGCUAUUUGGUACGCAAGUAAUUUCAGUCAUGUAUGUUGGUCAUCUUGGAGAGCUUUCACUUGCAGGUGCUUCAAUGGCCACUUCGUUCGCUUCAGUCACCGGUCUGAGCUUAAUAGUAAGAUGAUUCCUACUCUUUGUAGAAAAGAUAUACCUAUGCAAUGAUAUGUUCAUCUCGACUUUUGAUUCUAUUUCUAGCUUGAUGUAUGUUACUUGUCUCCAUUAUUAACUUUGAAGUUAUCAAAUAGUUGGGAAUGUGUAGCGCACUGGACACUUUCUGUGGUCAAUCCUAUGGAGCAAAACAGUAUCGAAUGCUUGGUAUACAUAUGCAGAGGGCAAUGCUUGUUCUUUUGCUGGUGAGCAUUCCUCUUGCAACCAUAUGGUUCAAUGCAGGAAGGAUUCUUCAGUUCUUGGGUCAAGAUCCAGAGAUAUCCUCUGCUGCAGGAGAUUAUGCUCGUUUGAUGAUACCUUGCAUUUUCGCUUAUGCGAUCCUACAAUGUCAUGCUAGAUUCUUGCAAACACAGAACAAUGUGGUUCCUAUGAUUGUUAGCACCGGAACGGCAACACUAUUACACUUUCUUAUCUGUUGGCUUCUGGUAUACAAGACCAGCCUCGGAUACAAAGGCGCUGCUUUGGCAAACGCCAUCACCUAUUGGAUCAACGCAUUGUUAUUAUUUCUGUAUGUCAGAAUAUCUCCAUCCUGCAAAAGGACGUGGACUGGAUUCUCAAAAGAGGCCUUCCAUGGACUUCCCACUUUUCUAAGACUAUCAAUUCCUUCAGCUCUCAUGCUCAGGUAAACUUUGGUUGAUAUGACACUAUUAACUUUGGAGAUUGUUUAGCUUGCAAUAACAUGGUUUUCACACAAAGGCACUGAUAUUUCGAAAAACAAGACACUACUCUGUGUUAUACCUGGUAAUAUACGAUAGAAAUACUUAGUAUGGUUUUUUGCUUUUAUGUUUUUGACAGCUUAGAGAUCUGGUCCUUUGAAAUGUCGGUUCUUGUAUCUGGUUUUCUUCCAAAUCCCAAGCUUGAAACCUCAGUCCUGUCAAUCAGGUUCGCAGUGCUUGAUAGUACUGAUUUGAGAAUAAUAUAAAGUUCUUAUUGGUAGCCAACAAAUAUGUAGCAAAAACGAUGAUAUUAACCGAUUAUAUCAUAUUACAGCCUUAACACAUGUGCAAUGGCAUACAUGAUUCCCCUUGCAUUCAGUGGUGCAGCAAGGUGAGUAAUUCUACAUUUAGGAACUUCAUACCUCUAUCAUGAAUCCUUGUUUCAAUAUCUCUGUUCCGUUUUUUUUGAUAGCACAAGAGUAUCAAAUCAAUUGGGUGCUGGGCAACCGAGACUGGCACGUCUAGCUGCAUGUGUUUCACUCUGCCUUGUUGUCAUUGAAGGCAUCAUUGUUGCUGCUGUAAUGAUAUUGGGUCGAAACGUAUGGGGAUAUUGUUACAGCAAUGAAAAACAAAUUGUGGAUUAUGUUGGUGAAAUGUUGAUUUUUGUUGCGAUAUCCCACUUUGCUGAUGGACCUCAAUCUGUUUUCUCAGGUUUCUUCAUAACUACAGACUCCUCAUAUACAUACCCAAGUUUUGUCAUUUUAAGAAAAUAUAUUGUUACUGAUUUACUGAAAAUAAGUUGAUUCACUCCCGAGUGUUUCAGGCGUCAUAAGAGGAAGUGGGCAGCAGAAGAUUGGAGCAUAUGUUAAUCUGGGAGCUUUUUAUCUUAUAGGCAUUCCUACUGGGCUAGUUUUUGCGUUUGGCCUCCACAUUGGAGGAAAGGUAGCAGCAAGAUCUCCUUAUUGUUUCAUAAUCUUUGAUGGAAAUGCGAUACUAGUCCGUACUAAUCUAAACAUGUUCUUCGCAGGGUCUUUGGAUAGGAAUUGUCCUCGCGGUAUUUGUGCAAGCACUAAGUCUUGCAAUCAUAGUCAUAUGCACAGACUGGGAUAAAGAAGUAAAGUACCUUGUUACCUAGUUUUCAUGUGCCAGCGAUCUGUUUGGUUGUUAGAUUUUUCUCAUUUCCCAGUUUGAUUUCCUUUUGUAGGUGAAGAAAGCUUCUGAUAGGGUGCACAAGGCAAUCAGUGCGGGUGAUGUGUCGUAAAGAUCAUGCUAAGGUCAUGAUCAUAAUUUUGAUCUGGUGACCUAAUUACGAGUCAAUAUUAGAAAAUUUCGAAGAAAAGAAAAAGUUAUUCAAUGCAGAACAUAUUAAUUUGAUCUCCUCCUUUGAGAGACCAGGGCAACAAGCCUUGUACUGGAUUAUUCUCGCCUUUUAUGCCAGUUUCUUCAUGUGAUAUGUUGUUUGAUAUGAGCGUCAGUCAUAUACACACUUUAUGUCUUACCAACUGAUGUGGCAAUGCCAAACUGGGUCUAGAUAUUAUCCCUUUACAUUUCUUAGAGCAUAUAUUAGUUUCAGUUCAAAAUGGCCAUCAGCUGCCUCGUUGGUUUCCUCCCCUUUCUUCCAAGAACACAGUUAAAUCAAGAUCAUGGAAACAAAAUCAAUCAAUGUCAGCAAGCUGGCAAUAUCAGCUUAUCGAUAAAUCUAGAAUCUUUUGACUGUCAUACACAUUCAAAUCAGAGUAUAGGUAUUUGGGGUUGUGUAUCCACCACCACAAUAUGGAGCAAACGCCACACAUUUUGUGUGGCCAAUAGAGGUGUGACAAUUUUCUGUAAAUAUGGCAAAUGAGGUUAUUAGUGAAAAAUGAAGAAAAAUUGCCACAUAUAAGGGAUUCUAUGGGAUUGCCACACGUACCCCUAUUACCCACAUAAGAUGUGUGGCUUUUGCUCCGUAUUAUGACUGUGAUCCUUGUGUUUAAUGGUGGACAUAAAUCCCACUCUUCUCCCUACCUACACUAGCAAUUAUAAUAGACAAGAACCGAUAAGAGUUUAACUGUAGCCUAACAUAUUUUAGAAGUCUCGAUACGAUACAUCCUGACAACCAACCUCAAGAAGAAUCAACCAUGUCUAACACUAUAUACCAAAAUUGUUGGCAUAUAUGCAAAUUCAACCUUGUGAUGUGUAUCAGUGUAUCUAGCUAAUAAAACAUUGAAAUGAAAAAUCAAAAGGGUGGUGAGUAAAAUAGAACUAACUACUCUUUCAAAAACAAUCACUCCAUCUCUCUCGGGGUUGAGUAUCCCCAAACCCUAGGGUUUAGUGACGAGGCGACGGUAAUCUGACUGCGGGAUCUCUAGGGCACACUCACGGUAGCGUAUGGUUCGGGCUUCUCAACGGAUGAGGCUUCUCAAAGCGUCGACAUCGAGGGAGGCUAUGACGGGGGUGAUUUUUGUUUCAACGAAGGCAUAGUUUCAAGGAGUCGACGACGGUUGGUGUGUCGUUCAAACCGGGUGUGUCAAAUUCGAUUGACGGCGGGCUAUUCUAUUCCUUGUUCGACGAUGGCUCAAAGAGAGGCGAUAGAGAAUUGAUUCAAGGUGUUCGGCUGAAUGCAGAUCUGUAGAUUGAGUUUUUUUUUUCCAAAGGCGGCUCGUCUAAGCGGCAACUCUUUUUCUAUUUUAUAGACAAAACCAUGUUUUGGAAGGGCGAAAAACCGCCAAAUUGAAUCGACGGUAGAUGGCAACUCCGGUUAACAUGGCGGCGGCCAUACUUGGGUUGAAAGAGGACGAAUCGGUUGGGCCUCUGGGCCUAACUCUUUGGGCUGCAUCAUUGCGGUUGGGCGUUAAGGUUUUCCUUCUCCUUAGCUAGGCUUGUUGGGGAUGUGGCACUUCUAAUCUAUGUUGUUGUGCGUCAAAACUGGUUCGCCGGUCUGCUAAGUGGAAACGUACAUGAGGUCUUAGCCAUUAUGCUUAUCAGGACAAUUGUUUUUGUCCUACGAUGGUAUAGAUUUAGAGGUUUCUUUUAUUGCUUUUUAGAAUUCAUGUCCAUGUCUUUGGUCAUAGCUUUGCGGUUUUUUUUUUCAAUUCGUAGUUCACAGUUUUUUUUUUUGGAUUAAGUUGAACUUUGUAUGUGAUCAGUAGUGCUUGAAUUACUCAUGCAUUGACCGUUAUGGUCGUUAUUGGCUAUGCCAAUUGGAUCUAUUUCCAUUUCCUUCAAAAAAUAAAAAAAUUAAAGGGGUGGUGAUAAAGUAUAAAGUGUAGAGAAAGAGAGAUAGCAAGAGAAUCAUCAUCUUAUUCAUUGAUUGGAGCCCUUUUAUAUAGGAAAUUACACAAUACCAAUAUGGUAAGGAUAUGAAUACAUAAAUCUAGUCUAACUACAUAUCCUAUUGGCAUAAGGCCAAGGCACACAUAAAGAAUAUCUAGAAAGAUACAAAAUAUCCUAGAACACUCCCCCUUGUGCCGCGCGCUGAUAUGCCGAUGGUGCUGAUCGGUUGCCUCGUCAAAAACCUCGUCAAGUCACAAAAACCCUGUGGGAGAAAAACUGAACCUUGAUCGUAGGAGAAAAAGAGUACAACGCACCCUUCACAUUUGAUAGUGACAUGUAUGUAUGUGCUAGACUCCCCCUGAAGUUCGCACCUCCCCCUGAUCUUUACAUCAAUCAUAGGGCUCUUCCUGAUUCUUACUAAUCAUGGAAAUUUCAACAACUUAGCAUGUCAAUGCUCUUUAACAUGUCUUCAAAUGUGGCAUUAGGCAAUGAUUAACUAAAUCAUGCCGUAUUGUCCUCAAAUGAUCUUUUACACUUAGAUCUUGAGUAGAAGGCCGCUUGUGAACUUAAAACAUAAGUUCGUGCAGGAAAUUAGAUUUCCGCACAGCAUGACCUUCAGUUACUAGAACAGUCGUAACUUCCUCUAUGAAAUACAUAUGAACGAACCGUAAAUGGUUUUGGAAACUAGACUCAUUUAACUGUAUAUUACACACAUUCUGGUUCGUCACGAGCUAUUCACAAAGUCCUGUCGAAGUUGACUGUUUUGCCAAAAUCAGAUUCUCGGACAGAUUCGUCGUACUUUACGAAAACGGCCCUAACUCACUCAAUGUGAUAGGUAUGAUCAAAUGGUUGGUGUCCCUGGAAAGUAGACACAUAGACCUUUCCAAUGGUAAUAAUUUCACCAUUUUCCAGUGAGUGAGAUUUCCUGUAGGUCCCUUGGAAGUUGACCUACGAAACUUGGCAGAUUCUGAUUUCGCUAUUGAUGUGUCUUUCUUAUGUAGGGAUAGAAUAAGCCUCAACCUUUCAUACCAUUAAGUAUUGAAAAAGGAGUUACUAUCAUUACAUUGGCAUUGUGUGGGCACAUAGCUACACUUAGCUUUACAACUUUUCAUAGCGAAUGAGAUGUCAAGUUUUUCGUAUUGUGUUAAGUACAUUGAUGCGUCUAAUUGUACUUAGAUGGGAACUUCAUCUCUUAACACAUAUUUGUCAUCUUGCUUUAGACAAAACAACGGAUCUCUCUUUAGAGUAAAGACUUUGACUAAUCAUGGGAGUGUAUGUAGCCCUCACUUUCGUUAGAGCGCCUAAGCCGAUUGAUGAAAAAUAAUCAUCAAUACAGUCAUCGAGUGUCUUAUCGAGAUCGUGUCUUCCCAAGAUCUUUUUCUUCGGAUGUUGAUACAUAUUGGCAUCUCUUGAUCCAUCAAGAGUCCAUGUAAAUCCGGAAUGAACACGCAAAGGCAUAAUUCACCAUAUCCCUUCCAAAUCAAGUAGAGUCCAUGUGCGUUUCAAUACAUUUAGCAAACGCAUGCUCCUGUGGUUUGGAGUUACUUGAUUUGGAUGAAUGAAGUCCGUUUAAGAGCUUCAUGUAUAUCUCUGAUCCCAUAGAGAUGUUAUUAUGACCACAUUCAUAGGCUGCAUGUUCAGUUAUUCGAAAACUACCAAACUGACAAAGUAGUGAAGUUCAAUGACAUCCAUUACGAGAGCAUAUCUCAUCGUAGUCGAUCCCAGUGCGUGUUAGUGAGAGACCUUGCGUCAUAAGGUGAGUCUAAACUCUUUUUCUCACUACACUAUCUAACAAAGGUAUAGUUGAUAGGGUUUAGUUUGUGGUGUCAGCAUCACCUGCCCAAGGACCUAUCUAUUUGUUAAUGCUGGAUCGCAUCUUUCCAUUAGGGAUAUCAACUAAGUUGAUAUCCAUCAACGAAAGGUGGUUCAAUAGUAGACUCAUUAUCCCACGUCCUCAUGUACACUAGUGUAAUACUUGUAGAGAUCUCUAUAUGGAUUGGAUUUGACAUUGAGGCGUCCCCCAACGAUAAUCACAAUUCAGACUUCAUGAGACGGAUUUGAGUAUCACUGAUCAACGGAUCAGGUUAUGCCAAGCUCACUUUCUUCCUAGUGCGAGAAUAUAUCGAACCUAAGGGCCUCCCUCCUUUUGGGGAGCCACACGGCCUUGUGACACCAAUUUUGCCACUAUAUGGCGUCACUAUAUCACUAUCCAUGGUGAUGGUGUCAAGACCAACACCUUUUGGUCGCGCCAUGUCCUCUUGAUGGGACAUCAAUCCUUGUAGACAUAUUUGCAGCAUGUGAUCUCGUCACUUUAACACUUUAAGCAUUUGGGGAUCAAGAUGAGACUUAGUGGGGACAAACCACAACAAUUCACGUCGUUCCACUUGAACUCUUGUGUUCUUAUCUCCCCCUAACGGCGAGAAUAUUGUCUUAUCAAAGUGACCAUCCGCAAUAUAGCGGUGAAAGAGAUCACUUGGCAAGGUUUCUACAUAUGCGGAUUAUAGGUGGGUUUCUACAUAUGCGGAUUAUAGGUGGAGGUUCACAUCCAACCUAAAUACUUAUUCAUCUCAAAUGACCCAUCAUUGUACGUAGUGGCAAUGCGAUUUGGCACCUAGAAAUAACAUCUAGCCGAGCUCAAGGAUUAGAGAUCCGUUUCAAUCUUGUUUGAGCUCAAGGAUUGCAAUCCUGGUACACAGUCAUGAGCUGUAGUACAAAAAUAUUCAAUGAUGGUGGGUCGUAGAUGAAUAAUAAAGUUGCAUGCAAAUAUUGCAUAGCCCCAAGACGCAAUAGAAAAAUUGGUGCGCAUCAAUAAUAUUCAAACGACAAGCUAAAGUUGCUUAGUCGUAGUCUCGGUGAGACCGUAUUGCUUGUGAACAUGGGGUACAGGACACUUCAACUUACAUCCCGAUAAACUUUUUUAAAGAAUGGGUAGUGAGCCCGUAGAAGUAUAAGUAGCAUAAGCAGUAGAUAAUAGUGUAACACGUGACCAGUGUGCUAACACUUCAACCAACACCAUAAAGCAUAAAAGGUGUCCGCAAGUUGGUUGUAUCUAUCUACAUAGUUUGAUGUAAGAAUAGAAUGUUCACUUUUGUGUCAUUUAGCGUAGGAGGGUCUCACUCCUAAUUUAGCUAAAGAAUAGGCUUUUAAAACGAGGAAUGAGCAUUGUAGGGGGUCAAUGCGACAUCUAGGGAAGGCCGGUGCACCUCAAUUGCUUGAGGAAUUGACCGGACGACCUCCAAGAACUUGGAGUCGUGUUUGGGUGACGUCAAUGUCCCCCGGGUCACCACCAUGCUUCAUGGUGAUGCUAGAUCUCGAAUGUCUUCGUUUUGAGCAGAAGAAUGGAUGUCCAUGAGAAUUUCUCAAAAUUUGGACCAUUAUAUAUAUCUCUUCCAGGUUGACCAAUUUGGUCAAACCAAAGCCUAUAUGAGUCAGUGUCCCAAAUAUCAUGUUUGGCGACAACAUGGGAUUCGAUAUUCCAAUCAUAGUGACAUACAGUCCACUAGAUUGACUCAUGAAUUUCUCCAAGAUGCGCUUCAGUCCGCAUUCAUGAGAAGGUAUACACAAAAGAAUUCUUGUUCAUUCUCACAAUGUAUUUUCGAAUGAAAACUAUUAGCAAGAAUGUCUUUAAAGCUCAAUAUGGUUCGAUUGCCUCUCAAUGCAUAGAGGGUAUCUAUGACAUUGAUCAUGGUGCCAUGAGGCAUCAAGAUUUAAGCUAAACCGCGUCCUUGAAUGACCGGUAUGAUUCAAUCAUUAUAGUCACAGAAGAUUUACAAAGGCACAAAAUCCAAAGAUAGUUGCCGGUUCCUUAGAAUGUUGUGGAUAGUUCCACUAUCUGCGAAGCACUCAAUGUCUCGAUGAGACAUAUCUACAAGAAGGAGUAGAUAUGCUAGUUAAUAGUUCCACUUGAACCAUUUAGAAGGAUUGAAAUAAGCUACGAAAAGCUGCAAUCCCGAGAGUGCAUAAAAAUUUCCGCGCAGAAUGACUUUUGCGCACUAAAACAGCCAUAACUUCCUCGUUAAAAUAGAUAUGGACGAACCGCAAAAAUUUCUAAAAACUAGACUCAUAGAGCUUUCCAAUGAUAUAAAGCUCACUGUCUAGUUCGUCCGGAGCUGUUCACAAAGCUCAAACGAAGUUGACUGUCUAGAAAGGACAGAUUGCUGUUUUUCGCAGAAUUGGCAUGUGCGAAGCUGUGAAGCUUGCAAGUGGCGUGUAGGCUUUUGCCUUAGCCACAAGUGACGUGUGUAUGAUCAAAACCAAGUCCUUUCGGUCAUUCUAAGGUCGUAAACUCCAUGACUAGUUAGCAAAAGCUCCCUGACAUGAACAUAAACUAACUCAGAGGACCUAGAGGAUUAGAUCAUGAUGAUAAUUUUCCGGUUUUUGAUAAGUCUUCAACGUCUUUUGCAAGACGGCAAUUGGUUUAAUAGCAUAGGGGGAUCCAAAAUCAAAAGCUUUCGGUAACUCCAAGUCAAUAUGACCAGGCAUGUCCGUGGAAGGUCGGUAGUGUGAGGCACACUUGAAACCACUAUCUCCUUAAUUUCGGACAAUUCUAAGACAUCACACUGAGCUUGGAUGAGCCUAGUUGAACAAUUGAUGAUGAAAAAUCCGCUAUAGGGUAGAAGACUUAACCGGAAACACGUGGGCGAUCCUCCUUGAAGAUGCGGUGUCAUGAGUCACCUUCAAAGGAAGGGACCAAAAUCGGCACAAUAUGCCAUGUUUCUAAGGACGAUGUAAGAAUGUACAUCUUUUUUGUAAAUCAAUACGAACCAUAAGAGGAGAAUAGUUUCAUAACUUCGAAAAAAUUUUCAAGGCAUUCAUUAUUGCUAACGUGAGUACAUCGAGGUCACAAAUAGACGAAGGACGUCAAUACAACGCCUUAGUACAUAUAGCUUGAAACGAAAAUCAAUGUCUAGCCGAUGACGUCAAAGUCAUGGGUAGCUAGAGCAGGAUCCAAAUCUUUGAAAUUCGCGAUCAUGAGGAUGACGUUCUUGUCCUCAUAUUGAUUUUUCGUACCUUUUUGUAUGCAUUCACAAUUUGAAAGAGCUUGACAAUCUUGAACCAGUGAUCCAAAGAUCCACAACGGUUGCAUUGUCAUGAGCUGGCGUGAGUAGUUUUGACAAAUAUAAUUGGUGUCUAGACUGGGAGUGUCGCCAUUAGGGCCGGCGGCACCUCCCCCUCUUUCUAGACAUCGGCACGGUGUUUUCUACCAUUGUCGUGACCCAUAUGUAGUCAAUUAAGGUGGUAAGCAAUCCACUUGACUAAUAACUCAAUAAAUAGAGUUAUAUGAACGUUUCAAGAAACGCUCCAUGAGUGUAUUCCACAAUACUUUGUGGUCAUUACUUUUUGCACAGAUUGCCAUUGAAGGCUUUUGUCGAUAUGGCGCGUCAAAGACUUUGAGCGCAUGAGAUGUGAAAUCUCGGCAUCUAGGCUUGUUAGCCUGGGGGUCAAAACAUGUGGUUUAAUCCUUUUCAACGAAAGGUUCUAUAGAUACCAAGCGAAGAUUCGCCUUAGGUAUCGAGUACGUCAAAACUCAAUGAGCAGAAUGUUACGUUGCUCUUGCAUACAAAACCAAGUUGUUAUGAGACUCGAUAGAAGUCACAAAUAAUGCUUUUAAUGGUUUGUCCUUCGGAUUGAUCAUAUACAAUCCGGAAAAAGCCGCGAAUUGAUCAAACACAAUUCGGAAAAGGCCUCGGAUUGAUCAAAUACAAUCCGGAGAAAAGUCGAGGUUGAUCAUACACAACCCGGACAAGGAAGCAAGAGUGAUCAAACACACUCUUGACCCGUAAAUAAAAUUCCGGGAUUUUUGGUACCUGCACACACAAAAUCUCAAGCAUAGAAUGGAGAUGGAGAAUGGAGGAAAGGAUUUUAUCCUCCCCGAGUUAUUGAACUUGAAAAAGUUUAAGGUUUCAAAACAUACCUUUCUCGUUUCUUUGGAAGACGAGCAAUCUUGAAAUCUUUGGUUUCUAGAGGCUGCCGAGAGGAGAAACAACAUUUUGCCUAUUUAUACUUCGAAUUUGGAGCUGAAAAUUUGACUGGAGGAGCAUCUCUGGAUGAGGAAGCUGUUGUCAAAAUUUCAGGUUGAUCGGAGCAAGGGAAGGUGGCGAACCGGUGGUCGGUAGCGGCGGCAGUCUGGAAUCUUCCGGAGGCCGGUUCGGAGACUUUCCGGCCGGUUCUCAGGGUGAGGCCGGCGGCGUUGGAUCCGAGGCGAAGAGAGCUUUCUAGGGAUGUAAAAUUCCGGCGGAGGACAUUCGGAAUUUUGGUCGAAAAUCGGGAAAAACAAGGCUGCCCGAUUUUAGGGUUUGGAAAACAAAUGGUGGGCAAUUGGCUCUAGGGUUAGAACAAAGUGCAUGAUAACGUGAUGAAGUAUAAAGUAUAGAGAAAGAGAGAUAGCAAGAGAAUCAUCAUCUUAUUCAUUGAUUGGUGCCCUUUUAUAUAAGAAAUUACACAAUACCAAUAUGGUAAGGAUAUGAAUACAUAGAUCUAGUCUAACUACAUAUCCUAUUGGCAUAAGGCCAAAGCACACAUAAAGAAUAUCUAGAAAGAUACAGAAUAUCCUAGAACAGGUAGUGAGUAAUAGGGGAAAUUAUAAACUGUACCCGGAACACCACAUGACGUUUGGUCCCCUCUAAUACUAUUGGUCUAAAUGUUUUUAUUUUAUUUCUGAUUAGUACCUAUAUUUUUUUUUCUUACCCCACUGUUCCCGGGGGAGGAGAGAGAGAGAGAGAGAUGGGCCUCAGCAGAUUGAUGGUUCCACCUUUCAUUAAUCGUAAGAGCCCAUGUUUAUGAGCAUCAGUUUCAGCGAAAAUCCCCUUUAUGCUGGGCCUAGACAGGUUGGUUGGUCCACCUUUAAAAGAAUAAUAAAAGCCCAUUGGUUUCAAUUGAUGUCUCCCUCAAAUGGAGAAAGCACUGAAAUGUGAAGAAAGGUAGCCAAACGACGAUUCAGCCAGAAAUCACUGUAACAUCUAUAACAAGCCCGAAAGUACACGAAUAAACAGAACCCAAGUAUGUUAUCUUGAAGCUGUUCUUAAUUCAACAAACAGCAAAAGAACAAACUAUUUGAUUACAACUUUACAAGCAUAUAUAUCAGAGAGUUGCAAAUGAUCAUCAGUGAAGAACAAUGGUUUCGAAACAGUGCACUCCAUCCAGCUCCAGCGCAAACCUGGGUGAUUGUACCCUUCUCAUCUCUUGCUGCUGCUUCUGUUCACUAUUACCCGCCAUCGACGAUGAAGAAGCUUUUACAUUUUCACCGGCAACCUGGGAUUUCUCGUUGCCGUUAUUGAUGAAGUUCAAGCUCAGCUUGUGGGAGGAGAACAUCGUUUCUGGUAAAGGGAAUAGGCUCUUUGCUGCUGGCUUCGGAGUUAGAUGGGGCAACGAGAAGAGGUAUUUAAAGAAACAGAUGAUUGGAUUGGACUGAUAUCUGCGCGACGAAAAAGUUUGGUCUAUCUAACACUGAAUAGAUGCGUGGAUGGCUUUAAACUACUAAAUUAGGCUCUUACCCGUCGGAGAGUUUGUGAGGCUUCUAAUUCUACGAGCUUCUAAUAUCGAUAUGAUAGAAAUUAUUAACUCAGUCAAGUGUCUUGUAGAUUCUAGAAUCAAGAAUGCAGUACCUUGGUGGAGUGGGAUAUUGAUCACCAUCAGAUUAGGUAAAUGAGGGAGAAACCUGAUAACAUUUCGGCAUAAGUUUGCAGUACUUAACAUCAACAAAAUGGACCACAACAAGAGUCCAUUAUGCAGAAAUUGUAUCAGCAAACAAUCAGAUAAAUGCCAUGACAGAUGACUAAAGAUGGAUAACAAAAGGAGCUCUGCAUGGUGAAAACCAGAACCAAACCACAAAUUACAAUGCUUCCAAGGGAAGAUGCAAUGAAAUAGGUUGAUUCAGCAUAUAAAACUACUUGCAAACCAAAAACCACACUCAUCACAGAUAAUUAAAGAUAGGUAAUCACUUUUAGAAAUUUCACAAUAGUCAACGAGUUAAAUGAGAUAGAUGUACCACGUGAUAGGCAAAAUAGUAACGUUGCAAGCAGUAAUUAAGAUCAAUAGGUCCUAGAAUUGGCUGAAACCAAGAUGACAACCAGUAUGACCGUCUAUGUUUAUUUUGUACGAUCUUCUAGUCAAACAAGCUGAUACCCAUGUCAUCAUCACUUUCUUCCUCUGGUUCAGGCUGCAUAAACAGCAAACAGAAGUUUAAAUAAAAAGCUGAAUGAAGAUGAACAAUGACCAAGCAUCAAUGCAACAGGGUAUACAUAUAACAAUAAACUUGAAAUUCAAGUUGUACACUAAUCAUAACUCAAAUUCAUAACCACAGAUUCUGUAAUAGAGCAACAAAUAAAAUAGCAAGAAAAAGGCGUAACAAACACACAAUUAAAACACAAGCAGAGAGCUAUAAACACAUUCUCACCUUCUUCUCCUCAGCAGCAGGAGCAGCAGCAGUGGCGGCGGCGGCGGCCGGAGCAGCCAUACCAACAGGAGCCGCAGCGCCACCACCACAUCCAACAUUCAUGGUGAGUUCACCGAGAUCCUUCUUCUCUGCAAGCUUGGCAAAGAGGUUGGGCCAGAAUGCUUCCACGUUCACAUUUGCAGAUUUGAGCAAAGUAGCAAUCUUCUCAGCCUAUAUAGAAAAUGCCACAUCAAAUUCAAUUCAGGUACAAAAUUAACAGGACAAACAUCAAUCUACAAACUACUAACACGGCGAUACGUCGAGUCUACACUAUCUUAUUCCCAACGCAUAAUUGAGAAAUGAGGUUAACAAUUAGGGUUUACAAGUGCCAAAUCAUGUCGAAACUUCCUCCUAAAAUCAAUAAUUCACUGGAUUGUGCAAAAUUGGGUUAGGGUUAGGGUUCUUACAGUGAUUGGGAUGCCGUCAUCAUGAAGAAUCAUGGCGGCGUAGGAGCAAGCAAUUUCACCGGUCGACAUUGUUUCGCAAGAGCUUGGAUUUGAAUCUGAAACGAUCAAAAUCGAAAUCGAAAUUAUAGAACCGAAAAACGAUUAAGAAAGCAGAGAAGGAAAAUGAGAGAGAGAAAGAGAGGGACGAACCUACAAGAGAGAAGGAAAGCGAGAAAUGAGGCGCAGCGUUGUAACCGUUUUGUAAAUGAGGAGCUUAUAUAGAGGUUGAGGGAGGUAGGGUUUUUUAUUAGGAAUGCCACGUCAGGUUGUCGGUUUGUCAAUUGGGCUGGCCCAAUAGGUGAUCAACUGGUCACUUGGGCUUAAGUUUAGGGAGCCAACUACUAGCCCAAUUCUUACUUGCUAAACAAAAAUGAAAAAGAAAAUUGUAGGGGUUCAAACUUGUACUCCCAGUACUUCCCAUCAUUUAACAUAGGAGAAUGUCAUUUGAUAAUCAAUUAGGGUCUACAUUAUUGUGUUUCUCAUGGUUCAAAUGAUCAGUACAAUGGUCUUUGAAUAAGUUAGCUGCAGUAAAGGAGGACUUUUGGAUUCUUUGUUGCCUCUUAACAGAUUAGAAAGAGGAUCCCUGUUUAUUAACAAGGUACCAAAAUGAAGUCUGAAACUUUCUACAGACAAGAAACUUUCUACUGACAAAAACGUAGGACGCAUUGAGUAGCAAAUUGGCGACCUGCUAUUUUAUUCAAUCCACAACAUAGUCGCUACUUCACAUAGUCACAAAAUGAGGUCCAAGGUUAUAAACUGCUUAAUAAAGCAUAGUCGCUACUUCACAUUAUGUCCGACCAAUAGCACUUGUUGAUUCAAGUAGAUACUCAAACACGUCCACACAAAAACAAAAUUUACCCAUACAAGUUCACACUAAAAUCACUAGCAUUAUCAUUCUUUUCUGGACUAAUAAAAGCCACACAGCCAGCCAUAAUCCGAAACAAUGAAGUUCGAAGCAAAAAUAACAUUCUCAACCAGUCUGCCGAGAUAUAAGAAUCACUGCACCUUAACCCAUACAUAAGGAUAUGGCUUGCCAAGAGGAUCAAGCACUACCUGACUGCGCCUGCAAUAUAUCAAUCUCAAGUUAGCAAAAUGAAACAAGUCUUAAAUUUCAAAAAUGCCAAGGUUUUCUAACUCAAAAAGGGGCAAAACUUACAGCUAUUAUCUAUUUAAUCCAACCAUCUAUGGAGCCAAGAUUAAACUCCAGUCCAACUAAGCAUAUCAGAUUAUUUCCAAAAAUAUAAGAGUUUGAAUGCUGUAGGUCCUUCGUUUUAAUUCCAUCCAUAACCAAAAAAUAAUCUUCCAUUUUGAGAUUACUAGUGCAUAUUAUAUGCCCCACGUAAACUUGUAUACUACAAGAAUAAACUUACCGGGCGGGGCGAUCCUGACCUUGAUCUCGAUCUUGUUCUUGGCCUGCAGCACAUGGAAAGUUAAUAAAAACAAGAUAUUAGACAUCAUACAAAUAAACAAAAAAAACAUUGUAAGAUUAUUUAUAAAACCAAAUACCUGGAAGGUUUGACCGGAGAUGCAGACCUAGAUCUUGAUACUGAUCUAGAAACAGAUCGCCCCAAAGAAUUGCUGCAUAAUACAGAAUGAAUCACAAGAUGUAAAAAGAGAAAGUAAUCAUAAAUUAAUACGAGAAAUAGUAGAUAAGUUUGCGUACUAGAGCUCAAUACCUCCUAUCCCUUCUUACACUUCGGCUUCUGCUACGGCUUCUGCUCCGACUCCUAGAGGGACUGCUGCGUUCAUACACUUUAACCUGCCAGUUGGUACACAAACAAUCGCCAGAACAACUUUGUGAGACAAACCUAAAUUCAGUUGUCCAACCCCAUUACUGAAACAUAGAUGAAAUACCCCCUAUAGACUGAGAAGUACAAUUCUACAGGUUUCAAUCAGGAAUGGAACAAGAAACUCAGAGUACCCACACCAUCAACAUCAAACUUAACAGCAACAUAUUGCAAGAUCCAUAGUAAACAAAAAUCAUUUGGAAAAUGAUAUUUAUACAUCAUUUAGGAAACGUGCAAACAUCUAGAUAAAAUAAAGCACACCCUAGCAACUUUGACAAAGAUAAAGAUUUACCCGAAUAUAGGAUCUUGCCCAAGGAUUUUUAAAUUCAGUAUCAGUAAGUUCCCGAACCUGAAAAAGGAACAAAAAAAAAAAGUUACUAUGUAGCAAGUGAAUAAGUGUGGAGCUUAAAAGAGGGCAAAAGGUCUUGUAGUUAAACUUACAGCAUAUUUCAUGUCAUCAUAAUUGUUAUAAUCAACCAAGCCAUAAGUCCCUGAACACAAAGCAGAAAAUCCAAGUGUUAAGCAGAUAAAAAUUUCAAAGCAUAUAAAAUUAGGAUAACCAUUAAUUCCAUGCUAGUGUCUUUUCAAAAAAUCUCAAGUACACGACAACUCUAAAGCUUUUCUAGAUUGUGAUGGCAUGGGGAGAGUCAAGAACUUAUUUGGUACUAACUAUAAUAUUGUUGGCCUACAUAACCAUUUUUAUUUAAGAAAAUUAAAAACAAAUUUACAUUGAAGCUGAUAAAAAGAAACGAAUAAUUGCAUUAAAAAAAACUCUGAGUAGGAAGCAGUAUUAGGCACAACGACUUGCACUUCCCUAAUAAGAGGAUCUUGAACAACAAUAUCAACAAUAUCUGACUCUGACACUCAAGUGAGAAGAUUAUCAAUUACAAAAAAUCUGAAGUAAAACCUAUACCUUCACUGUCACGGCAAACCUCAGCAAAACACACAUCACCAGCUUUUCGCAUAUGAUCCUGAAAUCAACACCCAGCAAGAUUACGAGUAGAAUACUAAACAAAUGGGGCACACACAAGUUUGCGAGAAGACAUAACCAAACCUUCAAAUCUUGCCAUGAAGCAGAAGACGGGAGCCCACGAACAAUAACUGGACCGAAUGCCAAUGUGCAUCAAUCAGUAAAAAAACUAAACAUGAGUGAAUUUUUAAUGGAAAGCAUUUGAAAAACAUAUCUCGGAUUUAUAUUCAACUAAGGCAUGUCCUAGAAGUAGGACUCACCUCGGAAUUCAGAAUGACGUGAGACACCAAAUCGACCCCCACCCCCACCCCCACCGCGGCCUCCUCUGCUACUGCCUCCACCAUAUCCACCACGACGAUCACUAGGUGGUGGGCCCCUGCUACCACCAUGGGCAAGCUCAACCUGUAUUGCGGACAAACAUAAAAAUGAAUAAACCACGGAAAAACCACAAUACAACAUAGAAAAAUAACAAUAAUUUAUAAUCAGAAGUACAACAGGAACUUUUUAGUACCCUUAAACGACAACCAUCAAAGUCAUACCCAUCACGACCCCUAAUUGCAUCUUCUGCAUCGCGAGAACUCUCAAACUGAAAUCCAAAUAUAUAAUCCAUUAGAGAACUAAAAGGGUUCAUUCAAAUACAUCCAGAGGACAAAGCACGAUAACCACCUCAACAAAACUAUAGCAUGGAGGGCGAGGUGGGAUCUUCAAUUCAAUAUCCAAAAUGCGGCCAUACUGCAGAGGAAAAUCAAGUUUAGAAUACCACCAGACAGAAAUAAGACAAUAUCAUAUCAGAUAAGUCUCAAAGUGUUUUACACACAGAAAAAAAAAAAAAAAAAAAAAAAAAGUUAACUUAUCUAAUAAGUGCUAUAGAACUCUCUCAUACAUGUUUCUAACAGAUAAUAUCAUAGACCAAAAGGCUGUUGCGUCAAGGAAAAACACUGCAUAACACGUGCAAAACUAAGCUCGUGCUCGUUCCGUAAUUCAAGCAUGGAAAUUGAGCUGUGCAAUUGCUCAUAGAAUAAUGCCUCACGUGUAGAAUCAGAUUUACUUCCACAGAGAAGUCAUAAGUUAUGCUUCUACUGACAUACCAAAACACAGGGUGUAACAAAAAUCGAUACGUAUAAAUGAAGCUAGAAUACAAACAAGCAAUAUCUAGUAAAUAAUUCGGUGACAACCUUGUAGAAUAAAUCUUCAACCUCCCGUUCUCUUAUAUCUGACGGUAGGUUGCCGACAUAGAUUGUGCGAGAAAAUCGUCCACUCAUAUUUGAUACCAAAAUAUUGGCUAAUGCAAAUUUUCUGCAAUCAAAACAUACUUCAUGUGAAUUUUGCAUCCAAUAGUUUGUAAAAAAAAAAAAAGUGCUAGUUCGGUAUUAUCAUCAUCAUGUACUCUGUUGUCAAUAAAGAAUAAAGAGAAGCAAAACCAAACAAUGAAGCAAACCAAGAGAGCAAUCCUCGAGGUGAGCCGUGCUCCACAAGCUCCAUUGCUAAUUUGCUCCAAGAUGCUCCAAAGCAAUAUAUAUAUUGAAUUAAAAUUUGAACUCCUCAUCCUCUCCCGAAUUUUAGCAGAUGUAUAGCUCUUCGGAGAGUGAGCAAGAAUCUCCAAUAACAAAAAAUAUAUACUCAUAACUCCAAAAUGAUUCUCCCACUCCCUCUCUAAAUCCCUAUGUAUGAUUGCAAAGCUCAUAUUUGUCCAAGCGCUUGGUAUCUAUCAUAAACAAAGCAUCUGUGUCACGAGAUCAGGCAAGAUUGGCAUGUAUUUAUGUAUUUACCUCAUUUAGCUCUCUUAGGAGCAUCCGAAAACAGAAACAAAGAAAACCAGAACCCUAGAAAAAACGAUUUAAAUUCCUCGAUUCCUGAUCACCCUCUCCUAAAUUACACAUAGUUAAAACGUCUUUCUUGCACACAUAGCUGAUCUUUUAAGCAUCAAUAUAUUGAAAGAAAACAAAUCCAAUGCCAAAAUGCAUUGCCCUAACUGUGGAAUCCAACGAAAACACUCCAAGAUAAUCAAAGGCCGAAUUCUAUCACCAAUCAGACCUAAAUUCACCAAAUACUCUCUAAGAAUUCACCAGCGUCUAAAAACCCUAGCCAGAAACGAAGCAAAAUAAAAACGCUAAACAGGUUAAUGCGAGGAAAUUGAAGAGGGGAAGAGGACGAAUAUCAAACCGGAAACGAAUCGGAGAAGCUUCGGAGCUGCUUAAGUACGCGGUUCUGAGCCUGAGCCGUUCGCGCUUGAACUUCGAAACGCCGACGAGAGAGAGAGAGAGCUAGGGCGAACGGGCAAUACUGAUAUAAAAAAGUAAAAGAGUUAAUUCUGGACCUGUUACGGCACGCUAGUUUGGGCUUUAAUAGGCCCAUAUAUCCGAGUCCAAACAUUUACUGAUCACAUAGGGCCCGAAAUGUAGGUUGGGCUGGCCGACCACAUGAGAGGCGAAAUCUUCAAACAGUUGGAGAAAGAGAGCAUCUUCAGUAUACGGCGUAUAUCUUCACAUACAUAUAUGGAUGGUCAUGAUUAGAGAAAAUAAUAUAGAAACAUGAUGAUCAAACAUAUGAAUUGUUAUGAACGAUUAAUAUUGCAUCGUGUAAAUACACGUCGUGCAUACAAUAAUUGCCAUUAAAAUUUCAUGUUCGGAAAGUUGUAUUAAACACCUUUAAUUCGUGAUAAAAAAAAAAAUCAAACGCUUAUAUAUGUUAAUAUGUGUGUGUCUGUUCCUUCUUCUUCUUCUUCUUCUUCUUUUUUCUCCGGUCAUGUUCUUCAACAGUUUAACACAACCGUGAUUAACUACUGCACCAUAGUUAGAGAAUUGAGUAUUCACGCAUCCGUCCUUGUUACCUAAUUAUCUCGUCAAUUCAAAGCAAUAGUUCCAUUUGGCUUCUCAUUCUUCUUCAACCGCUCCAUUAAGUCUUGGGAAUUAGGCUUUUCAAAGUUUCUGACUUUGGAACUUCAUUCCUGUGUGUUGACCAUCUGAACAGAAACAGCCCCUCCUUUUCAAUAUUCCAAAUUGAUCAAGUUGGUGUGUUGCUCACUUUCAAGACCAUCCACGACGUCGUGUUCGUGUUUUUGUUCAUAAACCCAACCACACGUGUGCUGAUUGAGUCGUGAUGGGAAGGUUCUCCAAUGAGAUGAAUCAUAUUUGUAUUGUAAGGAAAAGCUUAAUACUGCCUUCUGUAAUUGCUUGCUUGUAUUAGGAAAUAGGAUUCCCGAUGGGAAUGGCUGUGACCCGGCAUAAUGUUAGAACAAGUCACAUCAUCUACCAUUCCACCGUACCCAAAUAAAAGACAUAUGUAGACAGUUGUAUAUAGACUUUUCUACUAUACAUAUGUGUAUGACAUACAUUAUGCCGUGAGCCGUCCGACUGUUUUGUUAUUCAAGACGGUUGGACGGCUCACGGCUUAAUGUAUGUCAUACAAAUAUGUAUAGCGGCCGAACCUAUUGUAUAUUACAUAUGUUGUAUUUGUGUUUUAACGAAAAUCAAUUAUAAUAUGUUGCAUUGAUGUAAACAUUUCUUUCAGGUGUUCGAAAUAAUCUAGAAGAAUGAAAAUAUUUGAAGUUAGAGCCCUAGCAACGCCAAACUAUUUACAAUCCUUUUCCCCCCACUGUAGACGAAUCAGGGACAAGACCGAGUUGUUUAUUUCCCUACACCAAUGGUUGCCGACCAUAGCAUUAUACAAUACAUAAACACAAAGAGUAUAAUAACUCGAUGGUUGCAUUGUUUCACCAAUAAGUAAUGAGUUUAGUGAUUAAAUGAUUGCUUUGGAGUAGUUAAGUAUGAAAUCAAAUACAAUAACGAUGGAUUAUGUAAGCAAUGUAUUGGAACCUUUAUUGAAAUUGUAUUGAAAUACGUUGCUUUGGAAAAUGAACAGGGAUAGCGAUCGAAAUAUACAGAGUUCAAGUUGGGAGAUUUAUACAGUUGUAUGGUGGAACAUGAUAUCGAUGUGAUUCCCUUCUCAGAGAUGUGACAACACGGCCAUACGAAAACUAACAAUACGAAACAACAAGAUAAGAUUGUUGUUCGAUGACAUGAUUAGUUGCUUGUCUUUCCACUAUACAUUUUAUGCAUACACGACAUGAGUACGUUUUAGCUUUUGAUACAAAACUUGCUUAUUAAUUUGUUAUAUAUGCGUGUGACGCGAUAAAAACUAAACAAACAGUACGAAAUAAGAUAACUUCAUUAUGAGAAUAAAAGCAAGAGAGUACUCUACAUUGGUGCGGUUAAGAAAGAUAUCACACACGUACUUGAUCGACUCCAAUAAAAGAGUAAGUUAUUGUUAGUAUGAUUCAUGUUUCUCUGUAAGGGCUCUUGUUCAAAUAGUUUAAUAUAUAAUAGUCUAAAAGCGUUACAUUGUUUGUAUUUGUAUAAUGACAACCGUUAAACAAAGAAAGUAACGUAAACAUUUAUUAAGUGAAAAUUUGUUCCGCUCACUAUAUACAAGUAACAUGAACCGUUAUGUAAUUUCCGAUAACAAAAAAAUUAUUAAUUCGAACAAACCAGCUGGAUUUAUUUAAACUACAACACAAAGUUAACUUAAGUAUACUAAAAAAAGACUACAAAAUUUCGCUUCCAUUGUCAACUUCUAAUUGUCAAGCAUAUGAUGAUAUGAUAUAGGAAUAACAACUUUGAGUAACAUUGUAUAAACUAUAAACUAUAAAGCUCUGCCAACUACGUACUGCCCCCAUCUCAAAAUGUCCGUAUCUCUUUCUUUUUCAAAUCAAAUUAAAGACUUUAUCUUCAACAAUUUGCAAGAAGAUAAAAAGGAAACAAUUGAAGAGAAUAUCUCGCCCUACUAAUUAGAAUUGAUACUCUGUUUAUUCCAUUAAAUACCAAGCAAAUUAGGAUAUAACUCACUACCAAAUUGAAGAAAAUAGCAUCAAGUAUAUCCAAAUACAUUAAAUUUAUUUCCAUGUUCGACAAUAUCUACAAUAUACCUUUCAUAAAUUCAAUCCCAUGCGUUUAUGUAGGUCACAAAUGCAUUACGCAUGUCAAAAUACAAAAUAAAAAUCUUGAUCAUCACAAAACACAUGUUGUAUUGCCAAAUUAAAAAAUCCAAAUCCCACAAAAAAAAAGGUUCUAUAGGGGUGGGUAUAGGGGUGGGUUGGUAGGUCUUCCCCUUCCAAAUCAUCAGAGCAACAAAAACAUAUCAUCAACAUCAGCAUUUUGCUACGUAGUGAAAGAAGAGAAGGUCCAAAAAGGCAGUCCCUGCGUAAUCGGACGAUCCCAAGCACAAAAAACACAUACCCUUUUCCUCUCUCUCUAUCAUCAUCAGUGAGUAUAUAUAUUUAUUCUUUGGAAUAAAUACUAUAUAUUUGUUAAUUAAAAAGAAUAAAGAUCUGUGCUUUGUGCUUUGUUUUACCAAAUUUUCCCUUAUCAAAAAUUGCAGUCUUUGCAGACCCUUUUUUUUCUGCUUUGCCUUUCUCUCAAUUCUGUUAUACUAAAGCGAUCUUGAGGUGGGCUUUGUUCAUUUCAAUGGAGCUGAUGCUCUAGACAAGCCUCUAUCUCUCUCUCUUUCUUUCUCUGUUUCUGGUAAAGCCACCAAUAAAAAUGAUCUUUUUUUUUUUUUUUGUGUGUGAAUUUGAAAGAAGAUCAUCAUCUAGUUUAGUAUUGAAUGUUUCUGAAUUCUGAUCAGAUGGUCGUGUUUUGCAGGUGAUUUUGGUCAUAAAGUUUCGAACUUUACAGUGUUUUGGAUCAGAAAAUAAAGAUGGCUGUUGCUGAGAAUGCACCCAGUUUUGAUAACUCAUCGGAGUCCAAUGCUCACAACGAUCUUGAAAACCCAAAACCCAAAAUGGACUCGUCUGCUGUGGUGAGUGUGGACCCCAAUUUACAGUCCAACGGUGGUGACGGUGGUGAUCAGAGUCCUGAGCUGGAUGAGAGGCAGGAGGAGGAGGAGGAGGGUUUGACAGUGCCCAAAAGCAACCACAAGGCUCAAAUGGGCCAGAUGCAAAAUGGGUUCGAGUCCAAUGGGGUGGCUGAUGAGCAUCAGAUGGUCAAGUCUGGUGGGUAUGGGACUGAUCAGAGCUCUAAUGGGCAUGAGAAUUUCAAGAAGGAUAUGAGGGAUUUGGAGGAGUUGUUGUCCAAGUUGAAUCCCAUGGCUCAGGAAUUCAUACCUCUGAGCCUUGCCAACAACAACCAGGGCUUUGCUCUUCCUGGUGGAUUUGGCUAUACUAACAAUCUGUUGCUGCAAACCAAUUCCGGCAAUGGGAAUGGAUUCAUGGGCAAAAGGGUACGUGUGGAUUUUCAAUUUCGUCUGUAAAGUUUUUUCUUUUUUUAGAGUAUUUGGUGAUCAUAAAUUUGAGCUAUUUUUGCAGCUGGUUUUUGUUGUUUUAUGAUGGAAAUACAUAUGAGCUUUUCUUUUGUGUACAUUUUCAUGAGGAAGCGGAUAGCUAAUUGAGUUUUGUUUUUUAUUUCAGCAGAAGAAGAAUGGCUAUAGUAAUCAAGCCAGGAGAAGGAACUAUUACAAACUGAGUUUGGCACAGCGAGAGGAGAUGAUUAGGAGGACUGUAUAUGUUUCUGACAUUGACCAACAGGUAAGUGUGUAGUGUGGUGGUUUGUUUUAGACUUUUAGGUUGUAGGCUUGCUCUUUGCUUUUGCCUUUGCAUUUAACAUUUGUCCUUGUACAAUUGCCACUCUCUGUUCUGCAUUAUCAGGUCACUGAAGAGAACCUAGCUGCUCUGUUUAUUAAUUGCGGACAGGUAAGCAGUGUUCAUACUUUCCUCGUAUGAUAUUGUUCAUUAUAGAUGGUGCCAUAAUGGUGGAUUAUCUUCUAAUGAUUUUUCUGUCUGCUUUUAAAGGUCGUAGACUGUCGUGUGUGCGGUGAUCCUAAUUCUGUUCUUCGAUUUGCCUUUAUUGAGUUUACAGAUGAAGGUAUUAUCAAAAGCUAUCAUACUUCAACUAGAUAUGGAGGAUUCUUUGUUUUGUAAUGAUAAAUUGUUAAGUCAACCAAUUUCUGAUGCUUGCAGAAGGUGCAAUGGCUGCUUUGAGUCUGUCAGGAACCAUGCUUGGCUAUUAUCCUGUAAGAGUGCUGCCUUCCAAAACUGCAAUUGCACCUGUUAACCCAACAUUUUUACCCAGGGUGAGCUCUAUAUGAGACUUUUUCCUAUUUGUGAUUGGCACACACAGACACACAUAUAUCUAUCUAGAACUAAUAAUUAUGUGUGAUUCAUUUAUUCCUAUGCUGAUUUAUAUUCUUUUAUGUGUUGCUUGGAUUUCGUUGGUGUUAAUCAAUUCAGUCGGAUGAUGAACGUGAGAUGUGCUCAAGAACUAUUUAUUGUACCAAUAUUGACAAGAAGGUAGCGUUCAACUUUGAAUCCGGUUUAGGUGGUUUCAGUCCAGAACCGGUGCAGCUGUCUUACUAAGUUGUUCACUUGAUGCAGGUUACUCAAGCAGAUGUCAAAAUGUUUUUCGAAUCACUCUGUGGAGAGGUUCGUAUAUCUAUCUGUGAUUAUUUCUGCUAGUCUUGUAAUACUAUCUUAUGAACUUCCUACAAUAUGUUUUUCUUUGGAUUGCAAAAGAUUUCUGGUUAGAUUGUAAGCUAAGACAAUCUUCUUCCUGGAUUGAUAGGUUCAACGCCUGAGGCUCCUUGGAGACUAUCAUCAUUCCACUCGCAUUUGUUUUGUUGAGUUCACAGUGGUAAUGACAUAAUGACUUUUGAUAGACAUGCUGAAGUUUUUGUACUUUACUGUAUUGUGCUCUCUUUAUGUGUUUUUCCCCGCCUUUCUCUAGAUCUAUUUGACAAUUCAUGAUGACAAAGUUAAGUGAUUUCGUCCAAAUACUCUAUUGUGCCUUUCUCUAGGUCUAUGUUUAAACACUAUAAUUGCAUGACUUGCUAUUCUAGAGUGAUCCAUGCUGGUCGUACUUGCCAAUGAUCACAAAGUUUCGAACAUCAAAGAUGUUGGUUUUGGAUCCAGGAGAUUGUAGAGUUAGGGAAGGUCUUUGGUAGUGUCUAACUUGGUGCGCACUAAAGAGUCAGCUGCCUUGGUUUUAUGUAUCAAUUCUGAAAUGCCAUUGUGGGUACACUGUUGAUGGGCAAAAAGCUUAACCAUUGCUCUAUUAACCCCGCUGUUGACUAAUGGUCAUUCUUGUCAGGAUGUAGUUCCUUGUAAAAAAUUGUAUAGGCUGAAUUAACUGCUUUUUGGAUAGACAACCCCAAGUUUAGCUUAUAUCAUACAUAAGAGUUGACUAGAAAGGUAUAGGAGACUGCCCCUUGAACUUCCUUUAUAGGAUACUCUGGUUGGUAGUAGACCUCAAUAUUCAAUGUGCAGAGGCAGAUAGAUGGAUAGGAGAUCUUUACCUGCAUAAUCUUGUAUGUGCAAGCAUGCUGUAGGUUUUGGUUAGUAAUUAUUGAGAAAACACUUGUGCAAAUCAUUCAUUCUUUGUUAAGACUGAACAUCUCAUCAACAACUAUUUCAUUCGCUAUUCUUUCAACAAGUAAUUUUUCUUUCUCUGUUUUUAUUUGUAUUUUAUGUCAGUGAUUAGAUCAAAAGUAGUCUGCUGUUAGUCUUCUGGUCCUUAUUCUUUCUCUUCACAUGUGCAGGCUGAAAGUGCAAUUGCAGCUCUUAAUUGUAGUGGUGUAGUUUUGGGAUCAUUGCCUAUAAGGUUAGUAAUGCGUAGCUUAAGUUCUAUUCUCCGCCUGCCCUCCUUGUAGGAGCAACUUAGUUUGGAACUCUUGUUCAUUGUUUAUGUUAUGUAUGCAGGGUCAGCCCGUCAAAGACACCUGUGCGCCCCCGUGCUCCUCUUCGCUCUCCAUCACAGUAGACCUGCCUAUUGUUGCUGGACUAAUUUCCUGCUGAUAGAUAUAUUUUUAUAUGCAUACAUAGAUACAGAUAUGUUCACGUAUUUGUGUUUAUCUAUGCUUUUGUUCUUCUGGUUGCUGUUGGGUACCUUUGUUACCUACAACUACUAGAGGUUACUUGUGGAUUAUUUUGGUUUGUAGAGUUGGAUGGAAUUCUGAGGCGCUGAAUGGUUUAUUUAUCUUGCACAUUAUGAUGAAAUCUGGAGGAAUGGUGCCCGAAAUCUUUGCCUUUUAAUGUUUCUCAUGACCAGAAACUGAAAAUAUUUUGUUAUUGGUCAGAAUCUUUUCUUAGCUGUUUAGCCUGUUUUACUCUGCUUUUGUCUUAUUCUUUUCACACCGCUGGUUCUGUAUUUCAACACAGUUGGGAAAAUCUGCAGACAUUACAUUGUAAAAAACCUAAAUCUUGACUUGAUCUUGAAGAUGAACGCAGUGGCCUGCUUUCCUAAUCAGGGUUUUUUUUUUUAGUAAUGUUUUCCUAAUCAGGGAUCUUGGUUUCAUAACUGUCCUAGUUCUGUCCCUUAAUAAUUUAAUCUUAUAUUAUUAAGCUUUCCUAAUCCAUUAAGAGAUUUUGCCCUGUUCCUGGAGUGCUAGGGAGUAAUGUGAUAGUCUAAUCACUAUAUGUAACACUGCUCUCCUCAUCAAUCUGUUACGAAAUCUUUUCCAAGCCUAGAUAGUUCCUGUUUGUUUUGCCGGUAGCUAAUUGAAGAUCAACAGAGAUGGGUUGUUUUGUUGAUCUGUUAUUGCGUUGCUUCGGUGGAUGCUUUGGAAUUGAACAUCAUGACCGGAGGCGGAGCCCCAAAGUCUCUCCGGAGCCAGAGGCAGAGGCUUUAGAGAAGAAGAAAAUUGCAAAGCAACUUGGCCGUCCUGAUCUUGCUCGCAUUGAGACCAAUCUUUACGAAGAUGUUAUAUUGAACUGUCAAGCUGUUAUGAACCCUGGCGACAUUCAAGUGGAAUGUGAUUCUCACCUCGAUAAUGUGACGAAGCAAUCCUUGUUUGAUCAACUUAUCGUUCCACUAUGGAGGCCUGAGCUGUUUCUUAACGGCAGCAAGCUGCUGGCUGGUCCACGGAGAGGAGUCGUGCUCCAUGGACCACCGCCGAGUAAUACUGGCAAAGCAACAUUGCUUGCUACUGCCAAGUUCAUAGCAAAAGAUUCUGGCGCCGUCUUCAUCAGUGCAAGGAAAAUAGCGAAUCUGAUCACCAGUAGUUUCAGCGAUUAUGAUGCUACAAAGAAACGGCAAUUUAUCAGUGCUGUGUUUAGCUUAGCUUCUAAACUCCAGCCUGCUGUCAUAUAUAUCAACGACAUGGAUGGUUUCUUGGGGCAACUCUCCCAAACUAACAUGAAGACUGAGUUCUUGGAAAUAUUGGAUGGUUUUUUUACUGACCAGAAGCAUGAGCAUGCUCAAGUAUUGGUUCUAGCUGCUACUAGUAAAUGUAAUCGUGCAUCACCGGAGCUUGAUGAAGUAAUAAAACGGCAUUUUCAGGUCUUUGAGAUUCGGGUGCCAUGGAUGAAGGAGAGGGCAGAGAUACUGAAGUUGAUUAUGAAGGGUGAGAGAGUUGAAGAAAAUAUUGAUUAUGACCACGUAGCUGCAUUGACUGACGGUUACGAAGCUUCAGAUCUAUACCAACUUUGCAAGAAAGCAGCGUACAAUCCUAUCAGAGAUUAUCUACAAUAUGAAGAAAAGAGUGGAAUUAAGCAAUCUUCUCCACCAAGGCUAAUGUCACAGUUGGAUUUAGAGAAUGUGGUGAUUGCACAACUUAUUCCAUACUUGAACAAGUUGUUACAGCAAGCGACGAUUAUACUGGAUCAAACUCACAAUGAGAAACACCAUCACCAGCUGAAACAGAUACUGAGCUCUUUAGGAUUUAGUUACAGAGGUAAAGAUGACAGCAAUGUGAUGGAGAAGAGAGACGGAAAGGCUGUAAAUGACAUAUGCAAGAACGCGAAAAGAGGGAAGCAUAGAGUUGAUUCAGUAGGACAAACUACUCGCACCAAAUGACAAUGAAUGAAGCGACACAAAACCUAAUCGAUGGACGUAUGGCCGUUGGCCUCACACCAUGUAUAGGCAUAGAAUUUAUAGUUGGUGAAUGAAUUUAUGGUAGUCUGAGAGUGUGGAGGCUUAGAGAAACUUCGGUAUACGACUUGAGUCUGUAACAUUAUGUCUGUGAAUGCUCAUCAUUAGUUACACAUAAUUUGUGUGUUUGUGUGUGUAGCUUCAGUUGUUUAACUUGAGAACUAGAGGAUUUACUGAGAAACUAAUGUAUUUCACUCUGGUGAUGAAACUACAACAUCAAAUUAUCUUUCAUUAUGAAGUUUCACAUUUUCAGGGAUCCGAUGAGUGUAACACUCUGAUAACCUUCUUUUGUUCACAUGAUAAGUUCAUCAACAUCAUUAAGAAAGUGGGAAUUGGGUUUUCAUCGUAAUUUGCUCUUGCACGUGUGACGAAUCUUUAAACCAUACACAUGGACAACUAUUUGGGUGACGUAGAGUUCGUGUGGCCUUUGGGCUUCACACGUGGACGUGGGUAACCCGCUUUGAUACCAUGAUAAAGUAGUAUGGGAUUCACAUCUAAAACUAAUUGACAGUGGAUGGAGUGGCCUAAACCCUUAUAAACCCACAGACAAGGUCCAUAUUUUCGAUGUGAGAUUGAUAUCUCAACAGCUAGUCGGGCGGACAGUCGGUGACUAGCGCCUAGGCGGGUUAAUCGGGGGAUUAAUCGGUUUUUUGCCUCUCCAAACGGAAACGGUGAAGCACCGCCUAACGCCUAGGCGGGGAUUUUUAUAACAUAUUAUUGUUUUACUCGCAAGUUAUCUGCUAAUGUAACUUGGGGUUGGUUACUCUUCUUUGUGCACGUAUGCUUCAUAGCCUUGCUUUGACAUCACCGUAACCAUAAGGAUGAUGUAGCUUAUGAGCUAGUUUUCUACUUCAAAUCUGUUAGAGAUUUUCAUAGCUCCCAUACCUCAAUAUGAAAUCACUCUUACAGUCUAAACUUGUGUCCAUCCUACAAGAGCUAUUUAAAGGGCAAUACCAUUGCACUUCUACGACUUCUUAGUAAUAUUCAAUGCAAUUUCAUUACAGCUGAAAGCUACCAAGCGCAUGCGUGUUGACAAUUGCUUUAUCUUUUCCUUUAAGAUUCAUAUAAAUAGCCAUUCCCUCUUGUUUUGUCUCCCAAUCCAUAUUGCCCUUCCCAACAGAACACAAAACAAAACCCUCAUUCCUUUUGCCUUUCCUUAAUUAAUCUAAACUUUGCUCCUUCCUCACACACUAUAGACACCUGUCACCUUGAUUCCUUCAUACUCCCAAUAGCUCAAGCCACCACCAAGUUAUAGACUAGCUCCUUGGCUCUUAGACAAAAAAUGGGUUGCAGAAUCAGUACUGCUUCUCGCAUUGUUGCCGAGGAUGUUGCGCCAAAGCAAGGAAAAGUUGUGAAGGUUGUGAAGAUGGACGGCAAGGUUUUAGAAUUCAGAGCAUCUAUUCUUGUUAAGGAUGUCUUGUCGAACUUUUCAGGUUCUGCAGGUAUUGGUGUAUCAAAACAAUUAGCUUCAGAGCAUCUCCCUUCGUAUUAUGAGCUGAAGUUGGGGAAGGUCUACUAUAUGGUUCCUCUUUUUGGUUCUGUUACAGAAUAUAACAGAACCACUUCUGUUACAACAAGAAGGAUUAAAAUUGUAAUCACAAAGCAACAGUUUCAUGAGGUUUUGACAAACCAAGUAUCAUUCCAGAAGUUACUUUCAGCUUCAGGGCCGAAAGCUAAACCAUGUAAUAUGGUGGAUCAUUCGACAACUUGGAAGCCUAAGCUUCAGGUCAUCCCUGAAGGAGUUCAGCACUGAAUGUCACAACUAUUUAGAUAUGUAAGAGAGACAUAAGAAGGCACACAAGGUUGGUUAAUGUAUAAUGUAACUUAUGGAAUUGGAUUGUACUCAUCAACUCUGCAAUUAACAUGUUUAAUUUCACCAGCUUAAUAUAUCUCAACUUGUUAGGUAGGUUCUCAGUGAUCAGCAACACAGAGAUCUAUGAUUACCCUAAAUUAUUAGGGACUUUAGGUAGAGUGAAAAUUAAGGUAUCACGCUUUUUGUCUCUUACAAAUUCUCAAAGUACUGUUACUGCAAAUAAAGUAAUACAAUGCAUGCCACAAACACCAAAUUACAUUAGAUGGCAAUUUCGGCUGCAACACAAGUAGGAGAGGAGAGGCUGCUCUAAACCAUGCAUUGUUGGCAACAUCACAAGGGGCGCAAUUCACUUGUGUCCUACAAAUCAUCAUUUUCAAUAUCUUAAGAUGGAUCGCGAGUCAUAAAAAAGGGAGUCUUUCUAAAAGAGCACCAAGCAAUCAAGCUAGAUUCCACAAAACUGCAAUUUUGGAUGGUCGUGUUAUAGCUCAUUUUAUGGACGGACAAGCACAGCAAACUACCUACAAGUUCUAGUCUUGGUAUAGUGUCACAUUGUAUGUAAUAUCAAACACAUAUAGUUUUCCGUUUGAGAGGCUACAGAAAAUAUGCUAGUUUCAAACAUACUCCAGGUAAAGUCGAUCAAAAAGACAAAUCAUUAAGAAAGGUGACAUGAUGCAUAUUACAUUAGAUGGAGCAGUUCACAAUAACACAAGAUAAUAUGUAAGUUCCGAAUGUCGGACUUGGUAGAGUGAACAAUAUCUAUUGAAAUUCCUCUUGAACUCACCAUCUUUCACCAGUACUACUCUGGCCCUUUUUUUGGGGGCAGUGAUCAGGCCAGUGAUCGAUAUCCCAAGGAUGACCACCCUGUUCAGCAAUUUCUGAGCACCCAGAACAAGAAAAAGAAAACAAAAAAAACAAGGUUAAAACAUAGAAAAGUUGAUCCUAAUAACGAAAUGAGAGAAUGAGAAGCAAAUCAAAUCGAAUGAAUGCAUACUUUGAAAAGCUCCCUUAUAAGACUUGGUCAAGCGGUCGUCUUGAGAGAGCGUUAGAUCCUCGCGAGUAAGAUGCAGGCGGUCUAACACAUCAUCUGGUACUUUGUCUCUUAUGGAUUUUGAUAAGUGGUCUAAUGCAUGU
This 67889-nucleotide long non-coding RNA is filed under the name Fragaria vesca (wild strawberry). Its description in RNAcentral is "long non-coding RNA (FVES_LNC003886)". Lineage: Eukaryota; Viridiplantae; Streptophyta; Magnoliopsida; Rosales; Rosaceae. The record is from RNAcentral.